GCAGCCGUUGCCUCCCUCCGCCUCACUACUUCUCCUUACACCCACUCUCUACCCUCCUUUUAUCUCUUCACCGCUCAAACCCCCAACCGAUUCCAAACCCUACACCUUAGGGUUUAUCAAUUUCAAUCUCUCUCUCUUUUUCUGAAAAAUUCAAUUUAGGGUUUUCGUCACUGUAACAGAGGCUGACCAAUUUCCAAAGAUGUCGAAGAGAAAAUUCGGAUUCGAAGGCUUUGGCAUAAACAAGCAAUCAAGCUUCGAUUUCGAGCGGUCACAGCAAGCCCCUCAGCGGCUCUACGUCCCUCCGUCGUCUCGCGGCGGAAACAGCCACGACAACUUCGAAGACACCGACCUCGACAACAUCGAUUACGACGACAACGAUGGUUCCAAUGACCCCGGGAAUGACAACAGCCACGGCGACGGUGGCGGCGGUGACGAGGAAGUAGAUCCUCUGGAUGCUUUCAUGGAGGGGAUUCACGAGGAGGUGAGGUCAGCUCCGCCGCCGAAGCCGAAAGAGAAAGCCGAGAAGUACAAGGACGAUGAGGAGGAGGAUCACAUGGAGAGUUUUCUGAGGGCUAAGAAGGACGUGAUGCUCACGCUGGCAUCGGAUGCUUUACACGCCGGAUAUGACUCCGACGAGGAGGUAUAUGCGGCCGCCAAGGCCGUCGAUGCCGGGUUGUUGGAGUACGAUUCGGAUGAUAAUCCCAUUGUUCUUGACAAGAGGAAGAUCGAGCCAAUUCCAGCUCUCGAUCAUAGUUCAAUCGACUACGAGCCUUUUAAUAAGGAUUUUUACGAGGAGAAAGAGUCGAUUUCAGGUAAAUUCCAUUCAACCAACUGAGAAUUUUGUUUUGGUUUUUCUGAAUUUAGGUGAAAUGCGUAGCAAAAUAUUUAAAUUUGAGUGAGAGAGAACAUAGAUUGGUAGAAGUUCUUAAGGAGAAAUUUGAUUUGGAAGACGAAAGUUAACUGAUGUUUUGUUUUCGUUCUUUAGGGAUGAGUGAGGAGGAUGUUUUUGAGUACAAGAAGAGCUUGGCCAUCCGUGCGUCGGGUUUUGAUGUGCCAAGGCCGGUCAAGACAUUUGAAGACUCUGGAUUUUCUUCACAGCUGAUGACUGCCAUAAAAAAACAAGACUAUGUAAAGCCGACACCGAUACAGUGCCAAGCUCUACCCAUAGUUCUUCCGGGAGAGAUAUCAUUGGUAUUGCGAAAACUGGUUCUGGAAAGACUGCUGCUUUUGUCCUUCCAAUGAUUGUCCACAUUAUGGAUCAGCCAGAACUUCAAAAAGAAGAGGGUCCUAUUGGAGUGAUAUGUGCACCUACUCGAGAGCUGGCGCACCAAAUAUACUUAGAGUCCAAGAAAUUUGCUAAAUCACAUGGGAUACGUGUCUCUGCUGUAUAUGGUGGAAUGUCUAAGCUUGAUCAGUUCAAAGAACUUAAGGCAGGAUGUGAAAUAGUUGUUGCUACUCCCGGGAGAUUAAUAGACAUGCUUAAAAUGAAGGCACUGACAAUGAUAAGGGCAACUUACCUAGUACUUGAUGAGGCUGAUCGGAUGUUUGACCUUGGGUUUGAGCCUCAAAUUAGGUCUAUUGUUGGUCAGAUUCGACCAGACCGACAGACAUUGCUCUUUUCUGCAACAAUGCCUCGUAAAGUUGAAAAGUUGGCUAGGGAGAUUCUCUCUGAUCCUAUAAGAGUUACAGUGGGUGAGGUGGGAAUGGCCAAUGAGGAUAUCACUCAGGUUGUUCAUGUAAUUCCCUCUGACGCUGAGAAGUUGCCCUGGCUUCUUGAGAAGUUACCUGGGAUGAUUGAUGAGGGUGAUGUUCUAGUGUUUGCUUCAAAAAAGGCUGCAGUGGAUGAGAUCGAGUCACAGCUUGCACAGAAAGGUUUUAAAGUCACAGCUCUGCAUGGUGACAAGGACCAGGCAUCUCGGAUGGAUAUUCUGCAAAAAUUUAAAUCUGGCAUUUACCAUGUUCUUGUUGCAACUGAUGUUGCUGCCCGUGGUCUUGACAUCAAGUCAAUUAAGUCAGUUGUGAACUUUGAUAUUGCAAAAGACAUGGACAUGCACGUCCAUCGAAUUGGUAGAACAGGUCGUGCUGGUGAUAAGGAUGGCACUGCAUACACUCUUAUUACACAGAAAGAGGCACGUUUUGCUGGUGAGUUGGUUAAUAGCUUGGUUGCUGCUGGUCAGAUUGUUUCCACGGAGCUCAUGGACCUUGCGAUGAAGGUAAUUUUGCACUACUAUUAACAAUUUUUUGUGGUUUAUAUAGUGAGUUUAUGCAUGCAUCCAACUAUGUUAAUGCCUUCUUGUUUUGGAGAUGUUGGUUAUAACUUAACCAUAGUUUUGUAAUCCUAUAAUGCAUUUAUGUUCUGGGGCCAGGCACUUACAAGUUAUUAAUAUGGCCUCUGGUAAAAUGUUCUCUUUAUGCAAUCCGGACAAUUACACCUACAGGUGUUUGCCUCACAAAUAAACUACAUUACAUUCAAUAAAGGUGCAUAGGUUGCUUCUGAUUUAUAGUGCACUUUGAGAGGCCAAGAUGGAUUUGAUGAACCAUAUGGUCUUCAAGGCCAUAUUUAGAAAAGCUUCAGUAUGUCCUGCAAUUACAGGGAUCUUGAGAUCUUUGACUUAAUAAUGUCAAGAUAGUCAAUUUCUGGAAAAGCACUUAGUUUAGAUAGAGUAACUAGACGGUUUUUAGUAGUCCCAUCUGUACUUCAGACCAUGGUCUGCAUAGCAAAGGAGUUGUUAGGGUGUAUUUUGGCUUGUUGUGUUGUGGAUUGAUUCAUAGAGAUGAAUUGAAAGAUGAAGCUCGGUCUGGGGACUUAAAUACUUUUUUAUGUAUUAUAAAGCACCUUGGUCCUCCAAAUACUCGCUCGCAUUCUGGUCUGCCUAUAUGUCACUUGAGGCCAACUAAUUUGCAUUUGACAACUAAGAGAUAAUUGCAUUUUGAGUACUAAAUCACAAUUACCAGUCAUGAACCUUUAGUAAAUUGUCACCCAUUUUCCUUUGCGCCAAUUUAUUUCAUAGGCAUAAAUGCACAGGUUAUCAUGAUAGAUGGUUGCGCGUGCAUAUGUUAGAAGUUUUAAACUACAAGAGCCGCUCAUACAUCGCUUCUUGAAUCUUGUGUCUUUAACGCUUGCUUGCUUGCUACCUGUAGCUUUUGUUUUUCGUAUCCAUCACAAAAAUACACUGCAAUACUUUCUGUAUUUUUCUCUUUAAUUGGUUUCUGUCUCCUACAUGGUUGUGCAUCUUGAUAGUUAUUUAGGGUGAAUCUCGUUUAUGGAACUUUUGUUGCUCUCCUUUACUAUGUUUGUUGUUUGAUAGCUUUAGAUGUUAGAUUUCAGAUCUUACAUGCUUCAUUUCUUAAUGGGAUUUACCUUGUUUAUUAUCAGGAUGGGAGAUUCAGGUCCAAACGUGAUUCAAGAAAAGGAGGUAUAAAGUCUGAUCAUAUUAAAAUUUCUAUCUAAGAUUCGUUUGCAAGAUAAGGAUAGUAGCUUUUACUGGAUAUCUAAAGGAGGUUCAUUGCAUAUUAAAUUAGUCUUUUCUAGAAUUUCACAUGAUGAUAUUAUAUGGAUUCUGCAGGUGGAAAGAAAGGUAGAGGGAGGGGAGGUGGUGGCGGUGGUGGUCGAGGUGUGCGUGGGGUGGAUUUUGGUCUGGGAAUUGGAUAUAAUACGGAAUCCAAUAAUUCUUCAUCGCAUACCGUUGCUAGUCGACCUGCUACAGUAACUCCUGUGAGGACAGGAAUGAUGUCACAGUUCAAGACUAAAUUCGUUGCUGCUUCAUCCAACUCUCCAAGUCAAGCUUCAGGUAACAGCUAUAGUGCACCCAGCAGACCAGCAUUACGAGGAUUUGUAUCUGGUGGUUCAAUUGGUGGGGAUGUAUAUAGAACUCAGGCAACCAGUACAAUUACUCCUGCUCUUACUCCCGCUCCUACUCCCGCUCCUACAUCUUCUCAGAACUCUGGAGUAAAUGCAAAUCAGAAGCCCUCUGAAAGGUUAAUAAAGGUUCUUCUUAGUUGGAAUUUUUAAUGUCUUUUUAUGUUUUUGAUUGGUGCUGAUCAGUUUCAUUUGUUGUGUCUACUGCAGUUCUAGAGAUAAACCUAGAGAAAGGCGGAGGCGCUCUGGUUGGGACUGUUGAUCAUACAGUUGAACUGCGCCACUCUCACAUGGAUGAGAAGUUUUGUUUUUGAUGUAGAAGAUCCAAGUCCUGAUAUGCCUGUAUUAUUGUUGAUCUUGGUAAGUUUAUUUAUUUUGUUUUAGUUGGGUUCGGAAUUAUGUAUGCCUGUAUUUUUUAUUCCCUUCAUAGAAAUCGGCUUCUGCAGCUUGAUCAAUCAAUUUGGUCAAUUUCUUUCUCACUGUGUUACCAAGUUAAAAGCACAGAAGACAAUUUACUGAACUUGAUUGGCUUGCUGCACAAAUAAUGAACGAUCUACAAUAGCUUGAUCAGCCUGUCCCGUUCGUGUGUACUGAUUUAUAGCAAACCUCUGCUUCUUUUGUUAAUCGCAUCUCGAUUUCGAAAUUAAACUCUGCAAGAUUAGUCAUGCCUCCUUUUCGUUUUCAUGCUGUUGCAGCUGGAGGAAAUUACUUGUCCAGAAAUCAAAAGUUAAAAAGGACAGGAUAGAGUGUUCAAGAUCAAGUCCUCAAGUGGUCUAUACAAACGAUAUUCGAUGUUCACCCAAAAUUUUAAUUUCAAAGUAGGUAUGUUGUUGAGUGGGGAGAAGGUGAGUAGAUAUUACUUCUCUCUGUUAGAGUUAACUUGUUACUUGGCGUCACAAUUCCUGUAUGACAUUUUAUUUGAUAGUUCCUUACCACUGAGAGCCUCUUCAUCGACUUGCUUUGGAGGUUGUAGUCUAUGUUGGAUGUUUUACAGAUUUGUAAUUUAUAAGGCUUGGUUGUUGUUGUUUUCGUUGUACCGCGUGGCUGCAUUUUCCCACCAAAACUCUCCUCUCCUCGUCCAAAAACCAACAAAUCAAAGGUUUCAACUGGAGCAGAGAAGGUCACUCACCGAGCUAUGAAGGCCACUGUCGUCCGUAAUUCUUACCAAAUCAAAAGCGUGCGUGAGGCCGUCACGUAGUUGAAAUUGUAGCUAGACGUACAAACAUAGCAUUUGUAUGACCAAAGCCAAGGGAACGUAUAACUGUGUAUAUAUUUGUAUUAAGAGUAUCAAAUUAUGAGUGUGCAAAUGGGACUAGAUUCUCUUCCCUCUUCUUUCCCUCCAUCCCCAUCCAUCCCUCUCUUACAUUCUCUAUUUUGUUUUGCUUUUUUUUAUAAAAAAUUAAUAUAAGAUGUUGACGUGAUUUAACUGUCAUCGUUCAAAUAGGAGAGGAGGGAAGGGGAGGGAAAAAAAAGAGGGGAGAGAACUCUACUCCAGAUCACAUAAGGCCAUUUCCAACUGAAGGGUUCAGAGGGCAAAAAAAUGCUCGAAAUCUUUUCUUACUGAGGGCUAGGCCAGAGGGCUUGUGGGUCCCACAAAAUCUGAAAGGGCCACAGGGCUAGCCAUAAAUGUGAGUAUUCUUGUCGGAUAUAACCGACAUGAAUGCUAGGCCAAAUUUUCAAAUGCAACUGCUAACUGACGUCAUCUAGUCAUUAUUUUUGAAUUUUUUUAUAGUUUUAUUUAUUUAUUUUUUUUUACAAAAUUUUUUUCCUAUAACUUCUAUUUUUAAAUUCUAUUUUUUUUAUAACUUCCUAUAACUUCUAUUUUACAAAAUUUAUUUCAUAUAUUUUUUUUAAAUUAUAUUUUUUUCCUAUAACUUCUAUUUUACAAAAUUUAAGUUGGAUUUGAAUUUUAGUUAUAGAUUUUAAAUAAUAAAUUAUGUUUGGCCAUCGGUUGGAGAUUGUUUUUUGUGACAGGGUUAAAAUAAGCUCUAUGCCCUUUGGCCCUCGGUUGGAGAUGGAGGCAAAUAUGACUCUGUAUUGUUCAUUAAAAUAUUAAUAUCUUGAAUGAUCAAAAGGCUAAAACGAGCUUUCUGACUAGUCAUCGGUUCGAAGAUAGCCUAUUUCUUCUCUAACACAAGGAACGUGACCUGUUAUCCAUCAAAUUUCUGAACUUGAUCCCAUUCCAUAAAAAGCAUAGUGGUCCAUAGGAGACGUCCAAAAUUCAACCCUUCUAUUGGGUCCCUCUCUUCUUUAUAUAGACAUGCUCUUCAACCCAUUAUAUUUGCGCCAAUAGAGGUAGAAGUCGAGUUAAAGGUCUCACCACAGAUUUUCCUCCAUGCCCGUGACUUGAUACGUAGUGGGCCCCUUUUGGUCGCAGAGUUGGGCAGGUCAUAAAUGAAUACGAAUCUCCUUUGUGAUAACUCAUAGGUAUGUUAAUCGUGUCCGUUCAUUAUAUAUCGUACGGUUAAAAAUUAUUUUAAAUAUUUUUAUUUAAAAUCAGAAAAAUGUUAUCGAUAUUCCAAAAAUCUCAUUUUACACUCAUCACAAGUGUAUUUUUCUUUCCAAAUAUAGAAAGUUUGGAUUGUAGAAUGAGAUUUUUGGAGUGUCAAUAACAAUUCCCUAAAAUUAAACACAAACGGUACUUGACAAAAACUGAUUGAAUGAUAUACUAUUCACGAAUCACAGAUUAAUUUUCGAUCUAAAUCCAACGGCUCAAAAAUAAAGCCACCAAAGCGACCCAAGUCACCCUUCCAUGACUCCAUCUCACUCACAUCUCUCUCUCUUUCUUUUCUCUGUGAUUCUGGCGAAGACAAGCAUUUAAAGAAGAAGAGGAGGAGGACCCAGAUGAUCCAAUUCUCACAUCUGAAAAUCUAUAACAAACAAAUCUGAACACCACCAUAUCAGAUCAAACACUCCAAUAUUCCAAUUAUCUCGCCUUUUCUAGGUGAUUUUCCGAUGCACACCGCCUCCUACCUCCCUCUUCGGCCUCGAGGCGCCGUUGUCUGCGAGGCCAUCUCAUGGGCUCUCAUCUACCGCACCAACUCCUACAAGUCCGUCCGCUCCUCCAUCGACAAAGCCGCCAAGAAGCUCGAGGCCAUGAAGACUGACUCCUCCUCUUCCGCCGCCACCACCACCACGGCGCUUAAAUGGGUUACUUGGUGCUGCCCGGAGCUUCCCAGAAUCCUCGUUCAGAAGCUCUUUCGCCUUAGACAGGCCGCCACACUCGCACCCACGUUAAUUUUUUUUGAAAAUUUGAAGUUUGAUUGAAAAUUGGAAAUGGGUUUUUGAAGGUUGAUCGAAAAGUUAUCGCUUGAUUUCUGUUACAGGUUCGAAGAUAAUCAUGUUCUGGUCAAGCUGUUGAAGCACAUGAGCGCCCACUCAAAGGGGUAACUGAUAUUUGUCCCACUCAAAGGGGUAACUGAUAUUUGUCUUACAUUUCAUAGAUUUUUUGGGGGUUUUUAUGUAUAGUUUCGUUCGGGAAAUUAAAUUGAUAGCUUGUGUAAUGAAGACUAAAAAAUAUGGAACAAUUUGUAAGAGCUCAAUGUUACCAAGACAAUAAUUUAUCAUAAGAACAAUACUUACCUACUCGAGGAUGAGUUGGAAUUCCUACUCGAAACUGUUUGUGUUUGAAUCACAAAGCUUUGUGCUUAUGAUCAUAACUGUUAAUAGUAUGAAUAACCAUGUUAAGAUCAUAUUUACAAAAAAUGAAUUAAAAAUAAAAUCAUUUAGUCAACUAUUCUAUUAAUUACAUAGACGGUUCGUAAUACAUUACCAAUUCCGUUUAUUUAUUUUUGUACAGUUUGAAGAUUAAAUGACAUUAGUUUUAAUUGAUUUUGUGUAGCCAAUCUUUAUAGUGAUUUAUAAUAUAAAUGUCUUGAUCAUAAAUACGAAAUCUUAUAAAGUGAACAGUUUUGAGUAGGUCCACAACUAAAACAAACAGCUGCAACCAAAAAUUUCCCAUCUUACAAUUUUGCUAAUGAACUAGCUCAAUCUCCAUGGAUAACUUUUUCUUAGCCAGAAAAGCUUUUAUUUUUUUCUUGUGAUAGUUUCUCUUAUAGCUACGAUGCAAUAUAAUUUCUCUACAAUAAUAAUAAUAAUAAUAAUUAUAAUAAUAAUAACCUUUUGUUAACCUUUUGUCAAACAUAGAUCUUCAACAUCAUAAAAAAAAAGGUUUGCAUUUUGUGACUUUACUGUUAAUCGAAAGCUUCUACAAAAGUUGAUGUAUAAGUAGCACAAUAUGGGUUUGGAGAUUAUAAGUGAAUUUCCAAGCCUUUGUCUGUUGGGUCUAAUCUACGUUGUACAACGACCCAAAGAAUUGUUAUACACAUCAGAAGUUUACAGUUAGUAUAUCGAGAUUGAGAUGACAAUGCAAAAUAUAACGUUCAUCAGUGAUGGCAUCGGUAAAACAAUUAUCACGGGGAAUGAUACUGAGCUCCAAAAACUCACUAAAGGUUGCCGAUUCAAAAGUGACCUAACCAUCUCCACAUUUUGUUCCCCGUGUCAACUGUUUUGUCGAUGCCAUCUCUGAUGAAUGUUAUGUUCAGCAUGGUCCUCUUAAUCUUGAUGUACUCUUUGUAAAUGCCGGCCUUGACGUGUAUGAUAAUUGGUGCAGUCGAAAAUUGACUUGUAAUCUCCAGACCGGUCUUGUGCUACUUCUACAUCAGCUUUUGGUUUCGACUGCAAAAGCUUUCGGUCAGGAAAUGGAAAUCUUCUUUUAUGAUAUUGAUGAUCUAGGGUUGACAAAUGGUGGCACACUUGAGGUUGAGGGUAUAUGGUUUAGUUGCUAUAUGGUGCAGCGACUCUAUAAGAAUUAUACUGCAGCAUGAAUAGAACAGAAAAGAAGACAAGAUAAUAUGCACUGAAAUCCAUGGUUUGAACUUUGAGCUAUGAUCUUCAGAGGGCCAAAGGGGAUGCUUUUUAUAGACCAUAACUUGCCUUAUGUACAGCUUAAGUGCGUUUAGGUAGUUUUGAACUCUUACAAAAUGUUUUAUGUUAUAAAUAUGUAAAAGUUAGAGAGAUAAUCUUUACUAGUGAUAGGAGCAAAGCAGGUGUAAAAUAUCACAUUGUAAUUAUAACACAAGGGGAUGACAAAUAAAAGAGGGAAUGAUAGAUAAUGAUGUUAUUGAUAUUUCUUGUUUUUUCUGCAUAUCUUGAUAGUAGUUGGAGCGCUCUAUUUAUAGAGCAACUCCAAACAAACGUAUUAUUACAUUUUGAAUUUACAGCACACACCUUUUGAAAAUACAAUCUUCUUCAUUUCCAAAAUCCACAUUACUGUGUGGGUAUUGAAAAUUUGUGUGGGCUUUAUUAAUCUGCCAAAUAUUUUCGACACUGCCAAUGUUUUCAACACUCUCCCUUGGAUGCUCACAUAUGAACAUCAGUUGCCUCGUUAAAACCUUACUUGGAAAAAUCCAGUGGGAAAAAAACCAUAACGAAGGAAAAAGUGUACAACAUACAUGUAUCAUGGAUGCUCCUCUUGAUAUAUAUCCCCUUAAUUCCGCUUUCUCCAAAUUUAUUUGAUUGGUAAAUCGACAUAAUCCGAUACUUUGCACUAUCUUUUGAAACGUGCAUUUUGGUAGAGAUUUGGUGAACAAGUCUGCCAAAAUUUCAUUGGAACGGAUUUGUCUGACUUCAAUAAUUUUAGCCUUCUGAAGCUCAUGUGUUUAGUCUUAUUGCUAUUGGUGAAUCCUUCUUUCAUUUGGGCAACACAGACUGCAUUAUCUUUAGGUAGCGUUUGGUACGCAGACGGGAUAGGACGGGACGGAAUAGGACGGAACAGUGGUCCCAUGUUACGUUUGGUACGCGCAGGACAGAACGGAGAGUUGUUCCGUUCUGCGUUUGGUGUGCAGGACAGAGAACGGAACCAAAAUAUGAAAAUGACUAACUUACCCAUGUUCAAUUGAACUUCAGAUGUGCAAUCCGUAUCCUAAAAUGGUUACAGGUACUAAUUCUAUCUAAAAAUAAUACCCAUUUCUGCUAUUUCUUUUAAUUUCUUCAACCUAUUUGUAAUUAAUCCGCACAAAAGAACAGCUGCGACUAGACAAAAAUAAUAAUAUGGCUGAAGGGCUCCAAUUCCAGGAAUGAAACUGGGAACUCAAGGAGUUCAAAUUAAUUAUGAGAUUUUUUUUGUUAAAAAAUGAACAUGUUUUUUAAUUUUUUGAUUUUAUUGCUACAACAAACUAAAUAGAAGGGAAAUCCCAAAAUCAAGUCUUAUAUUUUGGAGGCGUGUUUUCACCAACUCAGUGUUCGUGUGUCCCCAACAAAUUGAGUGAGUUGAUGGCUGUUGCAUAUAAAGCUAGAUUGGAACUCUAAUACAUUAGGAUGGUGGGUUCCAAAAAUUUAAGAGUAUGAACAGAAAGAAAAAUGCAUCAGACCUCUUGGAAGCAAUUUUUUUUUUAUAAUUUUUUUAAUUUUUUUUUCAGUUGCAGAUCGAAGCAAUACAAAGAAAGAGAAACCGAGAGGCAGAUCAUACUUGGACUGGAGAUGCAGAGCUGAAGUUCACAGAGAAGGUUGCAAAGGGGAGAUGCAGAGGAUGAGGAGGAAGGUUGCGAAGGGGGGGAGAUGCAGAGGAAAGGAAUGAGGAAGACAGCGGCAGGCAGAAAGAAGAGAUAUUGUUUUAGGGUUUGUAAUGAUUUAGAUGGUGUAAUUUUUGAAAAAGAUAUGGGGUAUAUUUGUCUUAAAAUGGUAAAAUAUUGUGUUCCACAGGCGUGGAACAACCCGUUCCAGGGGGUAGACGCGGGACACAAAAACACCCAAAUUUUGUCCCGUGGAAUAGCGCGUUCCACCCUUUUUUGGCGUACCAAACGCGGGACAAAACGCUUCGUCCGGUUCCGUCCCGCCCCAUCCCGCGUACCAAACGCACCCUUAUGGAUGACAGUUGGAGUGUCUGUCUUUGAGGGUAGAUCACAUGAAUUCCGAAUACAAUGAAUCAUUGAUCUUAACCAAGAACAUUCACGACUUACUUCAUGUAAAGCAAGUAUUUCUGAAUGAUUUGAAGAAGUAGCAACUUAUGUUUGCUUUGUUGUGCCCCAAGAGAUUGGUGUAUCUCCAUUCUUGAACACAUAUCCAGUUUGUAAGCAGGCUUUAUGCGGAUCAGAGAGAGAACCAACAUCUGCAUAUCCAAUAAGGAUCUGGUCAUUUGUGGAUUUCUUUGAGUAGAAGAGACCUAUGUUUGUUGUCCCAUGAAGGUAUCGCAAUACAUCUUUGACUCAUUUCCAAUGACGAAUUGUUGUAGUAGAGCUAUACCUUGCUUACAAGUUGACUGAAAAAACUAUAUCUGGUCUAGUACAUUAUGCUAAUACAAUAAAGCACCUAUUGCACUCAUAUAUGGUACUUUUGGACCAAGGACCAGUUCAUCAUCUUCUUUUGGACGGAAUGGAUAUUUCUUAACGUCCAAAGAAAGAACGACCAUUGGCGUGCUUAGUGGAUAAUCAUUGUCUCUGCUAAAUCGCUUAAGGAUUUUUUCAAUGUAAACUGAUUGGUGGACCAAAAUUCCACUAGCACAAUGCUCAAUCUGCAAGCCGAGACAAUAUUUUGUUUUUCCAAGGUCUUUCAUUUCAAAUUCGUUUUUCAGAUAUUCAGCAGUUUUAUUGAGUUCUUCAGAGGUUCUAACUAGGUUCAUAUCAUCAACAUAUACUGCCACUAUAACAAAUCCAGAGUUGGAUUUCUUAAUGAACAUACAAUAGCAAAUGACAUUGUUGGUAUACCCUUCUUUGAUCAAAUACUCACUAAGACGAUUAUGCCACAUUCAUCCAGUUUGUUUUAGCCUAUACAAUGAUCGCCUUAAUUUGAUUGAGAGCAUACCUCGUGGUUUGUUAGUUGUUUCAAGUAACUUAAGUCCUUCUGGGUCUUUCAUAUAUAUGUCAGUAUCUAAUUCUCUAUAUAGAUACGCAGUGAUGACAUCCAGAAGUCGCAUAUCAAGUUUUUCUGAAACUUAUUAAGUAACAGACGUAAUUGCGUCCAUUACAGGAGAGUAUGUCUCUUCAUAAUCAAUUUCAGGUCUUUGCGAAAAGCCUUGUGCAACGAGUCGUGCUUUAUAUCUUGCAAUGUCCAAUGCUUCUGCUAAACCAUUUUGAAUAUGGACAUGAAGAACAUGGUAUUUAACAUCAAUGCUCAAUGUCAUGCAGUAAUUAUCAAAGGUUUGAGAUGUAAAUUGACCAGCAUUAUCAUGUUGGAUUGACUUAAUGAGAUAAUCUGGGAACUGUGCUCGCAACUUAAUUAUCUGAGUAAGAAGUCUCGCAAAAGCUACAUUCCGAGUAUACCAGAGACAAACAUGUGACCAUCGGAUAUAUGUAUCAACCAAAACCAUAAAAUAUUAGAAUGGUCCACAUGAUGGUUGAAUAGGCCCACAAAUAUCCUCUUGAAUUCUUCGCAGAAAUGAUGGGGAUUCAGCAUCAAUCUUUAGUUGUGAUGGUCUAAUUACCAACUUCCUUUAAGAACAACUUUGCAAGGGUUAUCAUUUGAGAUAGCAAUGUGUCUGCUCAAUAAUGGAUGUCCAUUAGAGUUGGUAAUGAUUCUACGCAUCAUGGUAGAUCCUGGGUGAUUCAAACGGUCAUGCCAAAACAUGUAAACUUUUGAAUCAAUGAACUUCUGGUUCAUAACAGUAUGUGAUUCAACUGUCUUUAUGUAUGUAUAAUACAAUCCACUCGUCAAACCAUGCAACUUCUCUAAAAUACGCUUUUGGGUAUCAUUGAAGGUAAUGCAUAGAUACUCCACAUUUUCUACACUUUUUGUUUCAAUGUGGUAUUCAUUUAAACGUAUGUCUUUAAAACUCAACAAAUUUCGAGUAGAUCGAGUGGCGUACAACGCAUUAUGUAUGGACAAUAUUGUUCCAUUUGAUAACAUAAUCUGAGCUUUCCCUGAGCCUUCAAUUGCAUCUGAUUAGUUUGAUAUUGUUGUUACUCUUACUUUUGUAAGCAUCAAUAUUGAGAAAUACUUUCAAUAUUGAAGUAUUAUAUGCGUGGUUGCGUUGUUUGCAAGACAAAUAUAUUCGCCAUUUCUCAUGUUUUGAGAAUGACCAUAGUUUUUAUCUAUGCUCUCUGAGUAAAGGGAAUCAUGGUUAAAAGCAAUUUAUAACAGGAAAUUUAAAUGCCACUUUUAUUGAAUUUGAAAUGUUAGUUUUAAAUUACAAGUUUAGUACAUCAAACAUAAAUAAUUCAGUUGGACCGGUAUACUUCAUUCCCCCUUUCCACAAUGAAGUCUGAGACAUCUAGGUGGGUUGUGUUCAACUGCCCUAAUAAGUCACACACUGGAUCAGGUAUAUCCAUUGGUUUAGCUUGAUCGAGAAAAUUGGUCUCGACAUUUGUCUCUUUAAUGGAGGCUUGAUAUAGAUCCACCGGAUGUUUUGGGUUACAAGAAGUACGCGCCCAGUGCCCAUUGCCACCACACAUAUGGCAGGCUCCUUCAGAAUUUCUGAGAGCAUUGUUUAUAUGAGCUUUGUUUUUGUGACGAUUCACAUUUUUGAAGCUCGGGCUUUAAUUAUGCCUUGUAACCUGGUUGUGAAACUGGACACCAUGAUUCUUGCCUUUCCUGUUCCACCGUCCUCACUUGUGGCCGCGUCAUCGUUUAUGAUUAUUGCCACCAGAGGAUGUGGUGUUCAUUUCGAGGGAAGUAGCGUUCACUUUUGGGAAUGGUGCAGAUCCAGUAGGUCGGGACUGAUGAUUUUUCAGCACAAGCUUAUUGUUUUAUUCAGCAACCAGGAGCACAGAUAUCAGUUGGUUGUAUUCACUAAAACCCCGCUCUCUAUACUGCUGCUGCAGGAGCACGUUUGAGGCAUGGAAGGUGCUGAAAGUCUUUUUCAGCAUAUCUUCCUCAGUGAUGGUUUCCCCACAAAGUUUUAUCUGGGAGCCAAUUCUGAACAUCGCAGAAUUGUACUCAGCCAUUGACUUGAAAUUUUGGAUUCUUAGGUGAGUCCACUCAUAACGAACUCUUGGAAGAAUAAUUGUUUUCUGGUGAUUGUAUUUGUUUUUCAAUGCAUUCUAGAGAGCUGACGGAUCUUCAACUGUUAGUACUCGCUCUUUAGUCCUUCAUCAAGGUGGUGACGGAUAAAGAUCAUGUCAUUCGCCCGAUCUUGAGAAGAUGCAUUGUCUUUCUCCUUGAUUGUUUCUCCAAGAUUCUUGGCCUCCAAUUAGUUAUUGGCAUCCAUUACUCAGGUAAUGUAGUUUUUCCAGUAAUGUCCAGGAAAACAAAAUCAAGCUUUGCCGCCAAGUUCGCUAUUUUCUUUUCUGAAAGAAAACUGAGAUGUGUAAGAACUUGCAAUAAUAUGUAUUCUGGAGGUAUGUAAUGUUAGAACUUAUGGUUCUUACAAAUUUUUCAUUUUGAUCUUUAGGCCAAAAUGAUAAGCACUUGAAACUUCAGGCUCGAGAUUUUCAAGAUGAAUGAGGAGGACGAUUAUACAGCACCAUUCUCAUAACAUAGGAUGGGCGAUUAUUCCGCACUACUUAAGUAGCAAGAAAAUUUAAAUACGCAGAGCAAGGUGGGCGAUUAUACCGCACCACCUAAAAUUGCAAUAAAAUUAAACAUCAGACAAAUUUAAAUAUGUAGGGUAGGGUGGACGAUUAUACCGCUCCACCUAAAAUUUGCAAUAAAAUUAGAUCUACAAUCCAAAAUAGGCGAUGAUACCGCACCAUCUUGGAUUGUAAUAAGAUUAAAUUUGUAGUUCAAGAUGGGCGAUUGUACCGCACCAUCUUGGAUUGCAAUAAAAUUAACAUAAAUAAACACUGGGUUAGUAGUCAGGAGCUACACCAAACAAGAAAUAAAAAAUAUAAGUAACUGUUAGGUUGAGAACUAGAAGCAGACAUGGUGCAAACAGUUAUUUGCGAGGGUAUAUCCAGCAGUUGAGGCAGAUGAAGAAUAAGAACAGUAAAAUCCUUAAAGGAAACAUUUUUUUGUUCUUUCGGUGAAGAGAAAUAAGAGAACGAUUAGAAAGUCGUGCCGAUAACGUAUUAUAAAUAUGUAACAGUUAGAGAUAUAAUCUUUACUAGUAACAGUAGUGAAACAGAUGUUAAAUAUCAUAUUGUAACUAUACACAAGGGGAUGACAAAUAAAAGAUGGAUGGAUAGAUAAUGAUGUUAUUGAUCUUUCUGCAUAUCUUGAUAGUAGUGGGAGCGCUCUAUUUAUAGAGCAACUCCAAACAAACGUCUUAUUACAUUUUGAAAUUUACAGCACACCUUUUGAAAACACAGUCUCCUUCAUUUCCAAAGUCUAUAUUACUGUGUGGGUAUUGAAAAUCUCUGUGGACUUUGGAAAUGCAGGAUAUCGUAUUUUCAAAAGGUGUGUACUGUAAAUUUCAAAAUGUAAUAAUAUGUUUGUUUGGAGUUGCUAUAUAAAUAGAGCGCUUAGACUACUAUCAAGAUAUGCAGAAAGAACAAGAAAGAUCAAUAACAUCAUUAUCUAUCCCUCCCCUCUUUUAUUUGUCAUCCUCUUGUGUUAUAGUUACAGUGUGAUAUUUUACAUUUGCUUCGCUCUUAUCAUUAAUAAAGGUUAUCUCUCUAACUUUUACAUAUUUAUAACACGUUAUCAGCACGACUCUCUAAUCAUUCUCUUAUUUCUCUUCGCCGAAAGAAAAAAAAGAGUUUCCUCUAAGGAUUUUACUGUUCUUAUUCUUCCUCUGCUUCAACUGCUGGAUAUACCCUCGCGAAGAACUGUUUGCACCAUGCCUGCUUCUAGUUCUCAACAUAACAAUUACUUAUAUAUUUGAUUUCUUGUUUGGUGUAGCUCCUGACUACUAACCCAGUGUUUAUUUAUGUUAAUUUUACUGCAAUCCAAGAUGGUGCGGUAUAAUCGCUCAUCUUGAGCUACAAAUUUAAUCUUAUUGCAAUCCAAGAUGGUGCGGUAUCAUCGCCUAUCUUGGACUGCAUAUCUAAUUUUACUGCAAAUUUUAAGUGGAGCGGUAUAAUCACCUACCCUAUCCUGCAUAUUUAAAUUUGUCUGUUGUUUAAUUUUAUUGCAAUUUUACGUGGUGCGGUAUAAUCGCCCACCUUGCUCUGCGUAUUUAAAUUUUCAUGCUACUUGAGUGGUGCGGAAUAAUUGCCCAUCGUAUGUUAUGAGAAUGAUGCGGUAUACUCGCCCUCCUCAUUCAUCUUGAAAAUCUCGAGCUUGAAAUUUCGAGUGCUUAUCAUUUUGGCCUGAAGAUCAAAAUGAAAAAUUUGUAAGAACCAUAAGUUCUAACACUGCAUACCUCCAGAAUACAUAUUAUUGCAAGUUUUUACACAUUUCAGUUUUCUUUUAGAAAACAAAAUGACGAACUUGACAAACCUUGAUUUUGUUGUCCUGGACAUUACUGGGAAAAACUACCUUACCUGGGUAGUGGAUGUCAAUAUCUAUUUAGGGGCAGGGAAUCUUGGAGAAACAAUCAAGGAGGAGAACAUUGCAUCUUCUCAAGAUCAGGCGAAGGUCAUGAUCUUUAUCCGUUGUCACCUUGAUGAAGGACUAAAAAGUGAGUACCUAACGGUUGAAGAUCUGUUAGCUCUCUGGAAGACAUUGAGAAACAGAUACAAUCACCAGAAAACAAUGAUUCUUCCCAGAGCUCUUUAUGAGUGGAUUCACCUAAGGAUCCAGGAUUUCAAGUCAGUGGCUGAGUACAAUUCUGCGAUGUUCAAAAUUAGCUCCCAGAUGAAACUCUGUGGGGAGACCAUCACCGAGGAAGAUAUGCUAGAAAAGACUUUCACCACUUUUCAUGCCUCAAACUUGCCUUUGCAACAGUAGUAUAGAGAGCGAGGUUUCACUUAAUACAACUAGCUGAUAUCUGUGUUCCUAGUUGCUGAACAAAACAAUGAGCUCCUGCCGAAAAAUCAUCAGUCCCAACCUACUAGAUCUACACCAUUCCUAGAAGUGAAUGCUAUUUCUCUCGAAGAGAACGUCACAUUCUCUGGUGGCCAUAAUCAUAAAUAAGGACGUGGCCACAGACGAGGAUGGUGGAAUGGGAAAGACAAUAAUCAUGGUAUCUUGUUUCACAACUAGGUUCCAAGGCAUAAUUUAGGCCUGAGCUUCAAAAAUGUGAAUCGCCACAAAGGUAAAGCUUAUAUGAAUAAUGCUCCCAGAAACUCUGAAGGAGCCUACUAUAGAUGGGUGGCAAUGGUAAUUGGGCACGUACUUGUCGUACCCCAAAACAUCUGGUGGAUCUAUAUCAAGUCUCCAUCAAGGAGAAGGGUGACGAGAUCAAUUUUCUCGACCAAGUUAAACCAAUGGAUAUACCUGAUCCAGUGUGCGACUUAUCAGGGCAGUUGAACAUAACCUACCUAGAUGUCUUAAACUUCAUUGUGGAAAUGGGGAAUGAAGUAUACCAGUCCGACUGAAUCAUUUAUGUUUGAUGUACUGAACAUACAAUACUUCGAGAUCGAAAUUAUUUCUCAAGAUUGAUGCUUACAAAAGUAAGGGUAACAACAAUAUCAGGCCAAUCAGAUGUAAUUGAAGGCUCAAGGAAAGCCCAGAUUAUGUUACCAAAUAGAACAAUAUUGUCCAUACAUAAUGCGUUGUACGCUACUUGAUCUACUCGAAAUUUGUUGAGUUUUAAAGAUACGUUUAAAUGUAUACCACAUUGAAACAAAAAGUGCAGAAAAUGUGGAGUAUCUAUGCAUUACCUCCAAUGAUACCUUGAAGCGUAUCUUAGAGAAGUUGCAUGGUUUGACGAGUGGAUUGUAUUAUACAUACAUAAAGACAGUUUAAUCACAUACUGUCAUGAUUCAAAAGUUUACAUGCUUUGACAUGACCGUCUGAGUCACCUAGGAUCUAUCAUGAUGCGUAAAAUCAUUACCAAUUCUAAUGAACAUCCAUUAUUGAGCAAACACAUUGAUAUCUCAAUUAAUAACUCUUGCAAGGCUUGUUAUUAAGGGAAGUUGGUAAUUAGACAAUCACAACUAAAAGUUGAUGUUGAAUCCCUAGCAUUUCUGCAAAGAAUUUAAGGGGAUAUUUGUGGGCCUAUUCAACCAUCUUGUGGACCAUUCCAAUAUUUUAUGGUUUUGAUUGAUGCAUCUACCCGAUGGUCACAUGUUUGUCUCUUGUCUAAUAAGAAUGUAACUUUUGUGAGACUUCUUGCUCAGAUAAUUAAGUUGCAAGCAUAGUUCUCAGAUUACCCCAUUAAGUCAGUCCGACUUGAUAACGAUGGUGAAUUUACGUCUCAAACCUUUGAUGAUUACUGCAUGACAUUGGGCAUUGAUAUUGAACAUCAUGUUCCUCAUGUCCAUACUCAAAAUGGUUUAGUAGAAGCAUUGAUCAAGCGGCUUUAGUUAAUAGCUCGCAUUUUGCUCAUGAAAACAAAAUUGCCAGUUUAUGCAUGGGGACAUGCCAUGUUACAUGCUGCAUCAUUGUUUUGAUUGAGACCUAUAGCCAACCACCAAUACUCCUCAUCGCAACUCGUGUUUGAGCAUCAGCCAAACAUUUCACAUUUGCGAGUUUUUUGUUGUACUAUUUAUUUGCCUAUUGCACCACCACAACGCACUAAAAUGGGACCUCAGCGUAGACUCGAAAUUUAUGUGGAUUUUGUUUCACCAUCUAUAAUUAGCUAUUUGGAACCCUUGACAGAUGAUAUGUUUACAUCUCGUUUUGCUUAUUGUCACUUUGAUGAGAUAGUCUUCCCAUCGUUAGGGGGAGAAAAGACCGUUCCAGAAGAACGGCAAAAGCUGACAUAGGUUGUUCCCACCUUAUCUCAUUUUGAUCCUCAAAGCAUUUAAUGUGAAAAUGAAGUAAAAAUGAUCGUUCAUCUUCAAAGUAUUGCCAAUCAAAUGCUAGAUGCAUAUAAUGAUGACAUAAAAGUGACAAAAUCACAUAUACCAGCUGCAAAUGCACCUGCAAGAAUUGAUGUCCCUGUUAGACAAAAUAAAGUGACAGCGAAUGAUUCAUCUGGUGCACACCUGAAGCGUGGUAGACCCCCAGGUUCAAAAGAUUCAGCCCCUCGAAAGGAAAAGACGAGGGCACAACUGAAUCCAAAUGAAAUCAUUCAAGAAGAGAAAAUAAAUGACAAAUCCACAAUUCAUAAUUCUGUACUUUUAGAAAAAGAAAAUGUCCUUGAUGAGACAUGUACCUGAAGAAACAAAGGUAUAUGAAAGCAAAGAAAUCUCUAUAAAUUAUGCUUGUACUAAUGACUUGUGGGAUCAGAAUGAAAUAAUCAUCAACGACAUAUUCACAUUCGCAGUAGCCACUAUUAAGUGAUGAUCUUGAGGCCCGCUCUGUUGAUGAAUGCAAACAGAGACAAGAUUGGCCUAAGUGGAAAGAUGCAAUCCAGGCAGAAUUAAAUUCCUUAGAAAGGCGAAAUGUUUUCGGACCAGUAGUCUAAACCCCGCCUGGUGUAAACCCUGUGGAGUACAAAUGGGUAUUCACAAGGAAACGCAAUGAAAAAAAUGAGAUUGAAAAAUAUAAAGCACGACUUGUUGCACAAGGCUUUUUGCAAAGACCUGAAAUUGAUUAUGAUGAGACAUACUCUCCUAUAAUGGACGCAACUACGUUCCAUUACUUAAUAAGUUUAGUGGUUUCAGAAAAACUUGACAUCCGAGUUAUGGAUGUCAUCACCGCGUAUCUAUAUAGAGAAUUAGAUACUGAUAUAUAUAUAUAUAUAUAUAUAUAUAUAUAUAUAUAUAUAUAUAUAUAUAUCUAUAUAUAUGAAAGUCCUAGAAGAACUUAAGUUGCCUGAAACAACUAACAAACCACGAGGUAUACUCUUAAUCAAAUUAAGGCGAUCAUUGUAUGGGCUGAAACAAUCUGGACAAAUGUGGUUGUAGACAUCGAAAAUUCGGUGAAAUAAAUGUUGACCAAUAAUUACAAUUUUCGAACACGUGUCACAUAAAUUUUUCACGUAGCGUGUGACUAAAUGAAAAAUCAAAAUAAAUUGGAAAAGUAUCAAAUAAGGACACGUGUCAACACCUGGCAGAAAUGAUUUAUUUCAUCUGAAUAUUAUAUUCAAAAUUAGGCCUUGAAAAACUCUAUAAAUACAAGGUCAUUUCAUUCAUUUUAGGACACCAAUUCAUCACCAAUUCACAUCACACCAAAACCUUGAAGAUUUGAAACUCUAAAGCUCCCAAGCAAAUCCCAAAGGAUUAAGAAAGCUCCAUCCGUUCUUCGUCAAAUCCUCAUUCAAGAUCAAGCCCCAACGACCCUUGAAGAACGUCCACCAAUUCAAGAUCAAGCCGUGACGGCCCUUGAACAAAGUAUUCAUCGUUCAUCAUCUGUUCAUCCUAAGAUCAAGCCCCAACAACCCUUUGGAUAAACAACAUCAACAAAUCCACACAUCCGUUCUUCAAGAUCAAGCCCAAAAGCCCUUAAAGAUCCGUUCAUCCGUUCGUCAAGAUCAAACCUAACGGCCCUUGAAGAAACCAUCUGUACACCAAUAUUCAUCCUAAAGAUCAAGCCCCGACAGCCCUUUGGAUCAACAGCCUAUCCACAAAUCAACACUUUACGAAGAUCGAAUCAGAUGCUAAAUUUGUAGAAGAGAUUGUAACCACAAAAUCAUUAAUACAAAUAUUAUUUUGUACACGUGUUCUUAUCUUAUUCAUCACAGGAAUUUUCGUGUUUACAAAUUCGGCACGCCCGGUGGGACCAUCUCUAUCUCUCAUCUCUUUCUCCGUUCAAGGAAAUCAAAGCACACAUUUGAAAAUCAAAUGGCAUCAAGGAAGGUUCAAGUGGUUCCCGCAACCAACGCGAAAAACAAGAGCGUCAUCGCCGCAAGUGGUGUCACUUCGAGCAUCAUAACUCAAAGCAAGGCAAUAGUUUUUUCUGCCGCUUCUUCCACCUCUGCAUCAACUUUGCCAAAGGAGCAAGAACACCCGAGGCAUAAGCCUGUGAUCACCCUGGCCUCGCUAAGGGCACCAAAGGAGGAAAGCCCAAGGAAGUACUUUGGUUCCAUGUUUUCGAUGCCUACUUAAGCGGCAGUUCAGCAAUGCAAGUCAUGACCACCGAAGCGACUUUAAUCGAUGAGCAACUAGCUCAAAUGAAUGAAGCGAUCGCAAGGCUAACAUGGACUGUGGAAGAAAAAGUCUUGCAAAUCGCUGCACUCGUCAAUCGAUUGGAGGCACAUGAUGACGAGAAACCCAACCCAAAGGUCAAUCCCCUAAAGAGAGGAGCCGGUGAAGAAGAUGAGCCUCCAGUAGAGAAAGUCGAUAUGAAGAUGAAGCUAGACCAAGCAGCGGCACUCAUGGGAUUUUUCUAUCCAGCAGUUGUCGGAGAUGAUCGCCAGCACUAUCAAGGCGCAGUACGAAGGAAGCUCACAUGACUCUGUACUAUACUCAAAGCUUUACUCCAAGAAGAUUGAUGCUUUGAAGAUGUUAAGGGGUUAUCAGCCGCUAAAAUUCAUGCAAUUCGAUGGAAAAGGAAACCCAAAGCAACAUGUCACACAUUUCAUUGAAACCUACAACAAUGCUGGAACGGAUGGAGACUACUUCGUCAAGCAGUUCGUGCGCUCGCUGAAAGGUAACGCAUUUGACUGGUACACUGACCUCGAGCCCGAAUCUAUCAACAAUUAGGAUCAGCUAGAAAAUGAGUUCCUUAACCACUUCUACAGCAUUCGCCGCACCAUAAGCAUGCUAGAGUUGACUAGUACAAAACAGUGGAAGGAUGAACCUGUCGUCAACUACAUCAAUAGAUGGCGUUCGUUAAGUCUGGAUUACAAAGAUCUGCUUUCUAAAACCUCCGCCAUUGAGAUGUGCGUUCAAGGAAUGCAUUAGGGGUUACACUAUAUCCUCCAAGGCAUAAAACUGAGAAUAUUUAAAGAGCUGGCCACUCAUUCCCACGACAUGGAGUUGAGUAUCACCUACCAUGGAAAGAGAAAGCCGAUCACCGACUUCAAGAAGGAUAAGGCGUUCGCCCCAAAUGUAGACAAGACCGGGAAGAAGCCCGCCAAGAAAGCUUUUACCGUUAACACUACCCCCAUCAAGACCUCAUCUAUGCCCAUUAAGAUCUCAUCCAAGAACAAAGCAAAUGAGGUAAAGAGAGGCGAGCCUCCUCGCACCCAAGACAGGUAUAAAAACACCUUGAGGGAGCUGGAGCAAAAGAUGUACCCUUUUCCUGACUCAGAUAUGGCUGCAAUGUUAGACGACUUGUUGGAAAAAAAAAGUGAUCGAGCUACCCGAAUGCAAGCGUCCUGAAGAGAUGAAUCGCGUAAAUGAUCCUAAGUACUGCAAGUACCAUCGUAUCGUGAGCCAUCCUAUUGGAAAAUGCUUCAUCCUCAAAGAACUCAUCAUAAAGCUAGCACAACAAGGGAAAAUCAAGCUCGACCUUAAAGACACGGCCGUAACAUCUACUAUUACAAUUACGUUUGGAUCCUUAGAUCCCGUGCCUCUCCAAGUGAUACCCGACCAUUCCCGUCAAUGCUCAAACUGCAUGACACCUUCUGCACAACCAUCACUGGGGCAAACGACCAAGAUGCAGAUAUCGAUGAUGAAGAAGGAUGGACAUUGGUGAUCUACAAAAAGACAAGGAAAUAAAAACCACAAGCCACAAGGCCAAAGAUGGAAGAAGGGAGAAAGCACUGUCGCCGCAACAGUAAGAAGCCCAAAAGAAACGUAAAACCUGCUAAGCCAACGUACAUUGGGGAACCUGUGGAGCAAGAGCCACGCAUUCCUGUUUCCUUGCACGAGUACUUCCCGAAUGACUUCUUCCAACAGUGCACUAUCGCUGCAUGUCACAUGGUCGAAGUAGAAACGGAAGAACCUUCAAAAGGCAAAGUCAUCGCCAUCGAGGGAGAAAUUACCCUUACACCCAAAGAAGGCCUGCUAACACACUUUAGCAUCGAGGAAGCGCUACGAUUGCCAAAGGAGAUGCGAAGAGCACUAGCAGCGGUCUUGGCAAGUCCCAACGACCACGAAGUACAAGAAAGCAAGGAUGAAGGCUUGAAACUUCGACCACAUGAGUAUGCCACUUGUUGUGCUACCCAGGAUGCAAUCCACUUUACCGAUGAAGACUUGCUGCUAGGAUCCAAGCCUCACAAUCAUCCCCUCUUUGUCUCUGGGUACGUAAGGGAGCAUAAAGUUAACCGCAUGCUUGUGGAUGGUGGAUCGACCAUAAACAUUAUGUCGAAGUCAACAAUGACCACAAUCGGCAUCAAGGUGGAUGAACUAUCCCUAAGCCGUCUACUAAUCCAAAGUUUUAAUCAAGGAGGAUAAAGAGCGAUGUGCAUGAUCCAAGUAGAGAUGACCAUUGGUGAACUUUAAUCAAGCACGAUAUUCCAUGUGAUUGAUGCAAGAACUUCCUACAGCCUGCUCCUAUGAAGGCCUUGGAUCCACGGGAAUUGAGUAGUGCCAUCCACCCUCCACCAAUGCUUAAAAUUCUAUCGGGAAUGAGUAAAGGUGAUCCAAGGUGAUACCAAGCCAUUCACCGAAGUGGAAUCACACUUCGCAGACGCCAAGUUCUACAUGGACGAAGACAUAGUGCCUGACGCUCUUCUAGAAGAGCUCAAAUCCACGGGCAAAGCAGCAUCUAAAAAGCAGGAAUGGCAAGCCAUGCCCAAGAAUCAAGAAUGGCAAGCCGUGCCAUUUUUAGGCAAAAACGAUGACGAGCCUUUUAAACCUGCAACAACAAAAAGGACUAGGACGCCUUCAAAAGGACCAAACACACCGUAUUCUGAUGCAUCUCAUUUCAAGAAGAAAGAAUGGCCAAUUCCCGUUCAAAACUGGAGCAAGCAAAGCUGACAUACAGUGGCACAAGGAUAAUGUGAAGUUGCUCAAAACGAAUGCAGUUUUACCUCUGACACAGCUAGGCGACGCUAAGGUUGCAGGACUACCACAACGCUUCAUAAAAGCUCUGCCAAAGGGAGUGGAACCAAGCUUUCUUCCAACCAAGAGAACCGAAGAAGGUUUUGAUGCAAACACCUACAAGCUCAUGCGAAGGCUGGGUACGACUUCGCUUUUUCUUCGAAUCCUGGAAAGAAGGUUUCAAACACCGUUAACGACAAAGAAUGUGACCUCACUGAGACUCCAAAGAAGUUGAAGAAGCAUGGUUACGAAAUCGACAACAACAAAGCUGGACUUGGCUUCACACCAAAUGCAUCCGUGAAGAUUUCAAGCAAAGCGAAAAAUGCUAGCACUCAACACAUCAGCGUGAGCAUUGAACAAGAUCAAGAGGAACCUAAAUCCGCCCCUCGGACGUCAUUCUUUGAUAUGAUGAAUCGUUCAAGGCCCAGAAUUUUGGCAUUUAAUCGCAUUGGUGGUCAGGACCAAACCUCUGUGUUCAAGAAGCUUAACCAACCAACAUCCCAAAACUCUGUUUUCGAAAGAUUGUCAAAACCUAAUAAACAAAGCAACAUGGCUAGCUAUCUUCUGCGACGGUCAGCUUUGGAGAGGCUUGAAGACAAUAAGAAGCCUUUGAAAAAAAAUGAAGACAACGCCAAAGGAAGAAAAGCUAGACGAGCUAGCAGAAAAAGGCGACAUUCGAAGCUCUAUUCCUUCAAGGAUGAAGCGCCAAGCAAUCUUAGAGGUUGACACAAUUGGAUCACUGAAAGUGAGAAGACGCAUCAUCAUCCACACUGGCCAAUCUUCACGCCAACAAGCCCGAAAGGAUGGCUCUGAGGAAGAGGUCUAAGACGUCUUCUACAUCACAAUCCAAGAAGGCAAAAAAGACGAAAUCCCCGAGGAAGACGUCACUGCCGUACCACCACAACUUGAGGAUGGGUGGCAAGCCACGGUUGAUGAUCUCAAGGAGCUCAGCUUAGGCACAAAAGAGAAGCCGAAGCCUAUCUUCGUAAGUGCGCUGCUAAGUAUGAAUGAGACAGAAGAGUAUUACCAACUGCUGCUAAAGUACAAAGACGUCUUUGCUUGGACCUACAAGGAAAUGCCUGGCCUUGACCUUGUCAUUGUUGUGCAUCAUCUUGCAGUCAAGCCCGAAAUACGACCGAUAAAGCAGACUCAAAGGCUCUAUUGAUCGCAACUUAUCCCACAAAUUGAGGCUGAGAUUGACAAGCUAAUCGAAUCAACCUUUAUUCGAGAAGUGCAAUACCCUAGGUGGAUCUCCAACAUCGUCACUGUCUUUAAGAAAUCUGGACAAAUACGUGUUUGCGUAGACUUCCAGGACCUCAACGAUGCUUGCUCGAAGGACGACUUCCCCUUGCAUCAGGUGUUUCAUCUCCAACCUUACAGGGUGUUGUCAACCGUUCAGUCGACUCAUGAAGAAUGAUGUUCUGUUCAUAUGGGACGAAGCAUGCCACAAUGCUUUUGAAAGCAUAAAAAAAUAUUUAUCAAGUCCACCUGUCCUGGGGGCGCCUGUGCCCGGAAAACAGCUCAUAUUGUACAUCGAUGCUCAGGAAAGUUCAAUUGGAGCACUCUUCGCACAAGAGAAUGAAUCCCAAAAAGAAAGAGCGCUCUACUACCUCAGCCGAACUCUCACCAGCGCCGAGUUGAACUACUCCCUAAUAAAAAAGAUGCGUCUCGCCUUGGUGUUCGCUAUACAAAAGCUCAGGCAUUACAUGCAUGCUUACACCAUCCACCUGGUUGCUAAAGCUGACCCAAUCAAAUACGUCAUGUCUAAACCAGUGUUGACAGGGCGACUAGCUAAAUGGGCGUUGCUUCUCAAUCAAUACGAGAUCAUAUACGUCCCAGCUAAAGCGGUCAAGGGAUAAGGGCUAGCAGAUUUCCUUACCAAUUAUCCAAUCCCAGCCGAUUGGAAAAUCUCAGACGACUUGCUUGACGAGAAGGUGUUUAUAUCGACAUCUUUCCGACAUGGACGAUGUUCUUUAACGGAUCUGCACGAGCAGACGGAGCAGGGGCAGAAGUAGUAUUCAUGUUGCCAUAUAGGCAAAUAUUACCUUAUUCCUUCCAACUAAGCGAACUAUGCUCCAACAACGUCGUUGAGUACCAAGCACUGAUCAUCGGGCUCCAAAUGGUGAUCAACAUGGGAAUCACAACCCUUGAGGUAUUUAGCGACUCCAAGCUCAUAAUCAAUUGACUCUUAACUGAAUAUGAGGUGAGGAAAAAUGAUCUCGUCCCAUACUUCUGACUGGCAACCCAACUGCUACAAAAGUUCAAGACUGUGACCCUAGAACAUGUGCCAAGAAAAGAAAAUCAAAUGGCAGACGCUCUCGCCAACCUAGCCUCGAGUAUGGCACUAAGAGAAGACGAAGCUGCAGACGUGCCAGUUUGCCAAAAAUGGGUGAUCCCGCUCGUCACUGAAAUGCUACUGGAUGAUACAAAUGUCAUCUCAGUACUUCCAGUCGAUGCUGAAGAGUGGAGACAGCCGCUGAUCGACUACUUGGAGCAUGGAAAGCUUCUAGAUGAUCCUAAACACUGCUCUGAAAUACGUCGAUGAGCACCUCGUUUCCUCUACUACAAAGGAACACUCUAUUGACACUCUUUUGAAUGAGUACUUCUGAGAUGCUUCGGUGAGGAAGAAGCCAAUCAAGCUAUGGAAAAAGCACACUCAGGUGUAUGUGGGGCGCAUCAGUUUGGACCGAAGCUACAUUUCCAGCUCAAAAGGAUGAGUUACUACUGACCAAGCAUGGUGAAAGAUUACCUAAAACAUGCCAAAAGGUGCCAAGCCUGCCAAUUCCACGCCAACUUCAUACAUCAACCGCCUGAACCAUUACACCCUACAGCUGCCUCAUGGCCAUUCGAUGCAUGGGGAUUGGAUGUCAUAAGACCAAUUAUGCCAAAGUCAUUUGCAGGAGAAACUUACAUCCUAGCUACAACAGAUUACUUCUCCAAGUGGGCUGAAGCCAUACCUCUAAGGGAAGUAAAAAAGGAAACUGUCGUCAGUUUCAUCAAGGAACAUAUCAUCCACCAAUAUGGUAUGCCUCACUACAUUAUCACUGACAACGAAAAACAGUUCUCCAACCGACUCAUGGACGAGUUUUGCAAGAAAAACAAGUUCAAGCAGCAUAAGUCUUCCAUGUAUCAUGCUCCGGCCAACGGUCUUGCGGAAACAUUCAACAAAACAUUGUGCAAGCUCCUAAAGAAGGUGAUCGGCCGAACAAAGAUAGACUGGCAUGAAAGAAUAAGCGAAGCACUUUGGGCAUAUAGGACGACAUAUAGGACUCCUACCCAAGCUACACCUUAUUCUCUCGAAUAAGGCAUGGAAGCUGUUCUACUGCUUGAGAGUCAAAUUCCCUCACUAAGGAUGACUAUUCAAGAAAGCUUGACUGACGAAGAGAAUGCAAAGUUACGCUUUCAAGAGCUUGAAGCGUUGGAUGAGAUAAGGCUUGAAGCUCAGCAACACUUGGAAUGUUAUCAAGCACGACUCUCCAAGGCCUUCAACAAGAAAGUUCACCCUCGUUCUUUUCAAAUAGGAGAUCUCGUCCUUGCAUUGCGUAGGCCUAUCAUCACAACUCACAAAACAAAAAGCAAGUUCACAUCAAAGUGGGAUUGACCUUAUGUAAUACAAGAAGUCUACACCAAUGGCGCAUACUUAAUCAUGGCAAUAGACGGCUUGAAGAUCGGCCAUAUCAAUGAUAGAUUCUUCAAGCGCUACUACCCCUAAAACAAACGGACCAUGCUCCUGGCCCGCAAGAGCAUAAAUUGCGUAUGACACAAAAAAAAAUCCAAAAGAAAAUGUAUUUGAACUACGUCAUGACUUGAUCCCUCUUUAACUGAGGGUACAUAGGCAACUUGAAACUUCAAAACUUCAAGUACAGUCACAUCAUCAACAAAAACACAAACACUUUGAGGAAUAAAGAGCAAAUUCAAUAUGUGAAUAAUUUAUUUCUUUAAAGGAAGGAUUUGGCAACAAAGCUUUAUUUACAAAAAAAAAAUGAUCAGAAGGAAAGAAGGCUUAAGGAAGACAUUACUUAAGAACUAUAUCCAUAAAACUACGACAACGAUCCUCAAGCAGGCCUUCCAAAGUCUUCAAAGUCUCCACAUCGGUAGGAGACAAGGUGGGCGACUCCAUUACCAUACAUUUCUCUUGCUUUAGGUGUGACAUCUCCUUUUGGUAUUGAGAAAUUGUAGCUUCCUGCUCCGAAAGAACACAUUCAAGCCGUGAUGCUUCAAUUCCCAACUACUCUCUCUCCCGCACUAAUGCUUCCAGACGCACUUGGACGGAAGCUAAGGAGGUUCCUGUGAAUUGAUAAUCUUCUGAAGCAGCUUGCUGAGAAGACCAAACUUGGGCAAUUAAUAAGUCUAUUCCAGCAAGUUAUUGAGCUUUAACAUCUGGACUCAACUUUUUCGAGGAAAUAGCACGCAAGGAAGAAUACUCAGUCGAGGCAGCCAUAAGUUUGGCAAUCUGAACUCUCAAGGGCGAGGAAUCAACUUUAAGGUCAUUAAUUGUACAAACAAACUUCGAUAAAUCCUUCUUAAGCAACGCAAGGUCUUCUAAUGGGUACUUUGAAAUCCUCUCCUCAAUAUGGCUUUUGACAUCCAUAGCCAUAUGAAGUCUGAUGCGACAGAUAAGCUGCUCAGUUCCAUGAAUGUUUGGCCCUCUUAAAGAGAUUUCAGAGCUAGCUGGCAAAGGUAUUGGAUGCAUGACGGGCCCUUGCAUAUCUUCACCUACACACGGCAAACCAGGCCAACUUGGCUGAUUCGGAAUAGGCUCUGCACCAGGCGGAUCCCCAAUCUCUCUAUCUGUAGGUAAAUUACCUUCAGAUAUCAUAUCCAUAUAAGAAUGAACGCUUGCGUUCGCUAGAUCAAAAGAAUAAGAUGGCUCAGCCUAAACAAGACAAAGAAAGAUGUUAGAAAUCAAAGCUAAAAUAAUGAAAGCAAAGUAAGUCACAAGAAAGAAAUGAAUAUGUACAUCUUUAUCAAGUGACACACGACCACCAAAUUAAGAAGGCCUAAACGCUUCUUUCUUCUUAUGACAAAAAUUGACGUCGCUAUCAACCUGAGCACCUUCAAAUGGUCGUUUGUUUAUAAUUUGUUGACGCUGCUGCAAAACAAGUCCAUCUUUGCACGAAUCAACUUCAUCACCCGCCUCUUCAUAAGUAUCCGGAUGUUGAGGAGACAAGCACGGGUGCUGAGGAACUAAAACCACAGGUUCAUCUUGCAAAUGAGUUGCACUCGCACAAUCAAGCGGUCAGCUGCGUAAGAAUCACAGAACACCCCUCUCUCGGUGCAUCAUUACGUAAGCAAGAAGAAUUGGUACCACUUGUCGUCCCCAAGUUUUCAUAAUGUACCUUUGACCACCAAUUUACGUAAGCACGGGUCACCAGAUUGUUCUUGAACUCAUCUUUGGUUGGCAGAGUGAUAGAAGCAUUUGUACAUGCAUGGGUACAAGACUCCCAAUGCAUAUACACGACUUGCAAGGAUUCCAAUCGGGCUUUUUCCUUCAGCUUGCCAGGCACAUUUUGGACAAAACCAAAUUGUCUGUUGUGAGGACUAUACGGCUAAACGAUGCAUCGGUCUUCUUGUCGCAGAGAAACAUACCCCGAGCGAAGAUUUAUAAGAUAAAACAAGUUUGAGAAGCGAAGAUGCGAAUCAUCCAUGAUGCCUCGUCACAGCGAACCCACUCUCACCAGGUGAUCAAUCCUCAAGCAUUCAUAACUUCUAAACAGCGCUUGCGCCUGCAAAUCAUCAAAGCCCUUCGCAGAAAACAUGCCAAAAUACUUCGUCAUCAAAGGCCCUAACUUAAUUGAAGUUGGUGAAGAAGGCCCUGACUUGUCUAAAGUUGACGAAGAAAAAUGAGUGCCAAGUACACACCCAACCAACCAUACACGUAAUGGUAGGGAAAUACCGCAUCACGAUCUUCAGUGCUAACCGAGUUUGAAACAACACCCAAGCCAUUGUAAAUGUUGGCUAAGACCGAAAUAGCAAGGCUAAAAAAUUCGCCAACGACCAUCUUGUUAGCAACUUUGAAGACUCCGGGACGGAUGAAAUUGACGUCGUCUUUGAGGAAAACAAACUUACAAAACCAACAAGCUAAGAAAGUGGCUAGGUAAGAUUUUUCUAAGUGCUCUGACGCCACGCCAAGAUCCUCAAAUGCCUUCAACUCGGUAAGGUUACGGCUCCCAGCUUGACCAAUGACACCUGACGGAUCCAAGUUUCCCUUAAGCCUGGUUGCCUUGUUACGACCACUUUUCUUCGAACGUCUUUGGUACUUCAUGGCAUCCCAAUACCAAAACCGGAUCCAUGCUGACUUACCCGAGGCCUCUUAGGAAAGCUUAUGGUAUGCCCAAAACAAAUAGCGGCAACUCGCAUGCAAUCCUUGAUUGUUGCAAUAAGAAAAAUCCUCCACACUAGGAACAACCUCGUCAUCAAAUUUUCCUUGGAUCACCAAGCAUCCUAUCUUGUGAAGAUCCCUAAGUGAAAUCGACAUCUCCCCUUGAGCCGUGUGAAGUGUGUUGGUUGUUGAACACCAAUGCUAAAAAAAUGCACGAAUGACAGAAUGAUGGCAAUCAUAACUGAACAAAGAUGCAUAUACAACAUGAUAAAGGCCCAUGUUGGUAAGCACAUCUUUGGAGCGGCUCAAGACAUCUUCAAGCCAUUCCCAGUAAAAUUCAACGAAGGUGGCUCCUCCAGUAGUCGAUAGGGUGCUACUCCAAGCCAUAGCUCCAUUAUGGAUACGAUCAUGAAGAAGCUCAGACGAGGCCAGAUGAUUGUCACGAACAUGGUGCGAAGAGUCCAAGAUAAGAAUCCUCGAGGUGCACGCCUUCUUCUUCGUAUCUAGUUGAACAUAAUCUACCACCUCCCAAGAUACUUCAGAAGAGCACGACUUAAUAUGCAUAGAGUUGUCUUUUGCAGGAAGAGCAAGCGCCUUAGGAUCAGUUAGUGGCGCGUAAAGCUUCAAUGUCGUUCCCCUGUCUUGCGAAUCCUCUUCAUUCGCAAGAAUGGUGAUGGUGUUGCUCUUAAAGCACUUGAAAAAUACCAUGACCUUAACGAAAAAAAAAAAUCAGCCACAAAACUUGAGUAGCACGGCAAAGAGAAUAGCAACAAAACAGUCAUUCCGAGCGACAGCAAGAGACACGAUGAUGUCACCACCAAGGAAAGUCGUGACCAAAAGGUACUACACAACAUAAACUCGCUGCAGUCUUUUGCACAACCCCACACGGUAAAAGUGACGCACUGCAACAAGCUCCAAGUAGCAGCAAAAGGCACAACAAAGUCAUGACCGAGGAAAGUCGUGACCAAAAGAUACUACACAACAUAAACUCACUGCAGUCUUUUGCACAACCCCACACGGUAAAAGUGACGCACUGCAACAAGCUCCAAGCACGGGCAAAAGAACCUCCAUCGAAACAAGCAAGGAAAUUCACCAAUAUACACUAUGUACCUAAAAUAAAUAAAUAAAUAAAAAAAGUCACGUGAAAGUCAAAACCCACCAGCUGUGUGUGUGCAUAUGUGUGUGUGUGUAUGUGUGUGUGUGUGUGUGUAUACAUACAUGCUAGUCAAAAUCAAAAGCACAAUGAAUCAUGUGUGUGUAUUUAUAUAUAUAUAUAUAUAUGUAUGUAUGUAUAUAUAUGACAUCCUUUCGGUGCCCAGCAAGAACCAAAAAAAAAAAAAAAAAUUCACAACAAGAUCUGAACCUAUGGCAACAAGCGUAAUAAAUAAAGCACAGCGAGAGGUGAUCAGUAGUGGUCGUAGUACAGUCCAAGCACUCUGCAACUUGAAGGAAAUGGAAUGGGGAUCAGAUAUUUGUCUAAAGCCUUAUAGGAGAACCUAUUCAUACACAAAUGGAAUUGAGGAACUUGAUAUCUGGCACGGCAACAGGCAUAUGUUUUUCCCCAAUGCUAAGGCAUCUGCUUUGCUCCAAUGCUAAAGCAACUGCUUUGCUCCCCAAAACAAGGAACAUGGUCCCUUUAUUUUUGUCUUAUUUAUCAAUCAAAUGGAGUGGGAAGCCGAAAGUGGAUUUGGAAAUGUCAAUUAAAAAAUUGACAUCCUAAAAUGAGCAAACAAGACGGGGCCUUACAUCCAUAUGUUGGAAAUGUGCCCUAAAACCAAUCAUAUGAUGAUACUUUACGGACAUUUCACAUGUUAAACUAAUAUAGUUUAAUAUAAAAGGCAAAGAUUAUUGUUUGAAGCCGUCUCAUAUAAAUGUUAUAUGCUUAAACGAUAAGUCUAAGGAAUAUGUAAUUGGGAGAAUGCGAUCUAAAGAAGUUAGAUUCAUCAGACCAUUCUGUUUCGUAUACAUAUCCUAAACGUUCCUGAUCAUAGGAUUGCCAAUUGGGCAUUGACAGUCCGUUAAGAUCAGUACGUCCUAUGUCUUCUCUUAGGGAGAGUGACUGGUCUCAAGUCAUUGGUGUGACUGACACCAAGACAAGUACGUAGGUGCUCAAUAGAGAAUGAGUUCACUGAACGCGAUCAACAAGAAGUUCUCAUACCCAUGUCACAUGAGAACUCAUGGUUGGGAUAAUGCAAAGUAGUCCUUUGACCUGAGGCAUCAUAGUUGUCUUGUGGUUAGGUCCUUUAUCUUUGACUAUGUCAAAGUCACUCCGAGGGUGUCCACGACAUAGUUGGGGUUAAGCCACUUAGCCAUGGAUGCAAGUGAAUGCACAACAAGGGAUCUCUAACCUUCAAACCGUUUGAGGGAAAAUACUCUAUGAUAUGAUUAAGAAUCUCUGACCAGAGUAUGAAUGAGAUUUAAGAAGUCGUUUCAAAUCACAUUCAAGGUAAUCAUAUAAGUAAGAGAUCACAUUGGAUAGAAGACAUGAAUAAACUAUCAAACCAAACAAUGUGGUCAAGAGUAUUGUAUUAGAGAAAGACCGUAUUGUAUUGUAAUCCUAAACUGAAUAGGUUCUCCACCUCUUCUGAUUAGCUUGGGUAACCAUGACAUACUGCUAGGUGUCACUCAUGGUUUGUGGAAGCCCUAAAUGUGUAUAAUCACUAAAGGGAGAAUUGAAAGUAAGUUUCAAUUCACAAUCGAUCGUUAAGAGUAACAAUCGCCCACUGCCUCGCUAAAAGGAACAUAAUGGAUCGUACAUCGUGUAAGGUAGAGAUUGAAGAAACAACGGAGAUGAGUAAGGAUAAUUAAAUGGUUUAAUUAUUUAUGGCUAGGAUUAAUUAAUAUGUUAAUUAAUCAAACGAAUACGUUCGUUAUAAACCUAGGGUUAGUUUUGGGCCGCAAGGCCCAAUGGGAUUUGAAAGUCAAGCCCAUUAACUCAAGUUGUAUGCCAACUUGAAUAAAUAAAGGGCUUGAAAGCCCAAUAAACCCUUAAGGCUGGCCAAAUAGAGGAGGGUAGUGAACUUGCUUUAAUUGCAAGUUUGCCACUUCAUUGUGAGGUGGUAUAAAGGCAACUUUAUAGCCAUUUCAUCCUUAGUGUUUUCUUUUGGGGAAAGGAUGAGAACACAAUGCUCUCCUUUUCUCUCUAAGAGGCCGGCCCCCUUGGAGGAGAUUAGCUAGCAAUCUCUCAUCCUCCAAGGUCACUCAUCUUUUCUUCAAGUCCCUCCUUGGUGUGGAAAAAUUAGAGGUUCUCAAUUUUGGGAACUUGGAGAAUCCUUUCUACCAUCCUCCUCCCAGAAAUCGAUGGAACUAAGAAGUAAGGAAUGAAGGCCCUCUCCUUGGGUGAUUAUCCUUUGCUUAUGCAAAGAGGAAUCAACAAAGGUAUGAAAUAUCUCAACUCACUGUGUUCUUGAGUUGAGUCUUGGUUCACCUUUCUACUAGGCUUUGAAUUUCAUGGGUAAUGUUUUGUUUUGAGUGCAUACUAGCAUGAUUCCGCCUUUAAUUGUUAAUUGCAUGCCAUAGAUGUUGCUCAAAUGAACAUGUUUUUCACAAAAUUUCCUUCACCAUACACUUGGUAUAUGUGAUGAUGGCAUGUGGAAAGCAACUGACAAAAAAAGAAAAAAAAAGAAAAAAAAGUACCAUUUGGGGGAAAUAAAGCUCAUUUAUUGAUUUCUCUACAAAAUUUAAAUAAACGUACAUUUUACAUGACUAAAAAAAAUAUAAUAAUAAUAAUAAUAAUAAUAAUAAUAAAGGGGGCAAGAAACAGGAGGGAGCCUUCACAAAGGUUGAUCAGGUGGCGCCUCAGUACUCGGUAGAGCUCCAGAAGAGGGAGGCACUAGAGGAUGAUUAUUUGGAGCCUCAACAGUUGGUAGAGCUCCGGAAGACGAAGGCAAUAGGUGCCUUUGGAGUAAAGCCACAAACAUUUGAUGGUCAUUCUGAAUCCGACCUUCGGAUUCCUGCAGCUGGUCGAGCUUUUUUUUCAUGCUCGUUAAGUAACUAGCAUGUGAAACUCUCUGUUUUCAUGCUUAAGCCCUCUAAUCUCUUGCUUAAGGCUCGCCACCUUAGCCAUCAAGGAUUCGACCUAGCGAGUACGAGCAAGAAGGCAUUGGCCCAUAUUCGAUACAGAGCCCGCACAUUGAACACUAAAAGCCAGAGAGUCCUGAACAACCAGCUUAUUAGACCGCUUGGAAAGGAUCAUGUUGUCCUUGGGAGUGAGAAUAUUUUUAGCUACCACCGUAGCGAUUAUGUCAUUCUUCAUCAUAGAGUCCCUAACUGUAAGAGGACCGGUGGGGGAUAAGAAGGAUGAGUGCCAUAUGUUGUCUGGAGAAGAUAUAUCAUCAUUUUCCCCAACAUUUAAAUCAAGACGAUGAUUAGAUGGACAAGCCAUUUGCAAAAAUGAUGAAAGAAGAAGAAGUCGUGUAAAUCGAAUUCUUAGAAAUACAAAAGGAGGGAAAUUCCUAACAGGUAGCAACUCUUUAAGUGUGUUUUUGAACACGAUUAAUGCCUUUAUAAAAAGAAGAGGCAACAGGGUCGUUCAAAAACCAAGGAGACACCUCUCCCCGAAUUUCAAAAACUGGGCCGUUUGUUCAAAAAUUGAAGAGGCAACAAGGCCACCAGGGAUAGGUGCCUCUUUGGUUUUUGAACGGCCAUGUUGCCUCUUCGAUUUCUGAACAGGCCAUGUUGCCUCUUCUUUUUAUAGAGGCAUUAAUCGUGUUCAAAAACACACUUAGAGAGUUGCAACCUAUUAGGAAUUUCUCUCCUUUUGUAUUUCUAAGAAUUCGAUUUACACGACUUUUUCUUCUUUCAUCAUUUUUGCAAAUGGCUUGCCCAUCUGAUCGUCGUCUUGAUUUGAAUGUUGGGGAAGAUGCCGAUAUAUCUUCUCCAUACAACAUAUGGCACACAUCCUUCUUAUCCUCUACCGGUCCUCUUACAGUCGGGGACUCUGUGAUGAAAAAUGACAUAACCGCUACGGUGGUAGCUAAAAAUCUUCUCACUCCCAAGGACAACAUGAUAUUUUCCAAGCGGUCUAAUAAGCUGGCUGUUCAGGACUCUCUGGCUUUCAGUGUUCAGUGUGUGGGCUCUGUAUCGAAUAUGGGCCAACGCCUUCUUGCUCGUACUCGCCAGGUCAAAUCCUUGAUGGCUGAGAUGGCAAGCCUUAAGCAAGAGAUUAGAGGGCUUAAGCAUGAAAACAGAAAGUUGCACAUGCUCGCAAAUAGUUACUCAACGAGCAUGAAAAGAAAGCUCGACCAGCUGCAGGAAUCCGAAGAUCGGAUUCAGAGUGACAAUCGGAUAUUUGUGGCUUUACUCCAAAGGCACUUAUUGCCUUCGUCCUCCGGAGCUCUACCAACUGUUGAGGCUCCAAAUAAUCAUCAUCUGGUGCCUCCCUCUUCUGGAGCUCUAUCGAGUACUGAGGCGCCACCUGAUCAACCUUUGUGAAGGCUCCCUCCUAUUUCUUGCCCCUUUAUUAUUAUUAUUAUUAUUAUUAUUAUUAUUAUUAUUAUUAUUAUUAUUAUUAUUAUUAUUAUUAUUAUUAUAAUAUUUUUUCUUUUUACUCAUGUAAAAUGUAAGUUUAUGUAAAUUUUGUACAUAAAUCAAUAAAUGAGCUUUAUUUCCCCCAAAUGGCACUUCCUUAAGGAAGUAAGGCCUAGUCUUGUUUGUUCAUUUUAGUAUGUCAAUUUUUUAAUUGACAUUUCCAAAUCCACUUUCGGCUUCCCACUCCAUUUGGUUGAUAAACAAGACAAAAAUAAAGGGACCAUGUUCCUUGUUUUGGGGAGCAAAGCAAAUGCUUUAGCAUUGGAGCAAAGCAGAUGCCUUAGCAUUAGGGAAAAGCAGAUGCAUGUUGCCGUGCCAGAUAUCAAGUUCCUCAAUUCCAGUUGUGUAUAAAUAGGUUCUCAUGUAAAGCUUUAGACAGAUAUCUGAUCCCCAUUCCAUUUCCUUCAAUUUGCAGAGUGCUUGGACUGUACUACGACCACCACUGAUCACCUUUCGCUGUACUUUAUUUAUUACGCUUGUUGCCACAAGUUCAGGUUUUGCUGUGAUUUUUUUUUUUGGUUCCUGCUGGGCACCGAAAGGAUGUCAUGUAUAUAUAAACACACACACAUUAUUCAUUGUGCUUUUGAUUUUGACUAGCAUAUAUGUAUAUAUAUACACACACACAUAUGCACAUACACGGCUGAUGGGUUUUGACUUUCACGUGACUUUUUUUUUUUUGUUAAGGUACACAGUGUAUAUUAGUGAAUUUCCUUGCUUGUUUCGAUAGAGGUUCUUUUGCCCGCACUUGGAGUUUGUUGUAGUGCGUCACUUUUACCGUGUGGGGUUGUGCAAAUGACUGCAGCGAGUUUAUGCUGUGUUGUGCCUUUUGGUCACGACUUUCCGCAGUGGUGACUUCGUUGUGUCUCUUACUGCCGCUCGGAAUGACCAUCUUGUAGCUACCCUCUUUGCCGUGCUGCUUAAGUUUUGUGGCUGAUUUUUUUUUUUUUUUUUUGUUAAGGUCAUGGUAUUUUUCAAGUGCUUUAAGAGCAACACUAUCACCAUUCUUGCAAAGGAAGGGGAUUCGCAAGACAGGGGAAAAACGUUGAACCUUUACGCGCCACUGACUGGUUCUAAGGCACUUGCUCUUCCCGCAAAAGACAACUCCAUGCAUAUUAAGUCAUGCUCUUCUGAAGUAUCUUGGGAGGUGGUAGAUUAUGUUCAACCAGAUACGAAGAAGAAGGCGUGCACCUCGAGGAUUCUUAUCUUGGACUCUUCGCACCAUGUUCGUGACAAUCAUCUGAGCUUCUUGGUGAUUGUAUCCGUAGCGGAGCUGUGGCUUGGAGUAGCACCCUGGCGACUACUGGAGGAGCCUCUUUCGUUGAGUUUUACUAGGAAUGGCUUAAAGAUGUCUUGAGUCGCUCCAAAGAUGUGCUUACCAACAUGGGCCUUUAUCAUAUUGUAUAUGCAUCUUUGUUCAGUUAUGAUUGCCAACCUUCCGUCCUUCGUACAUUCUUUGAGCAUUGAUGUUCAACAACUAACACACUUCACAUUGCUCAAAGGGAGAUGUCGAUUUCACUUAAGGAUCUUCACAAGAUAGGAGGCUUGCCGAUCCAAGGAAAAUUUUAUGACGAGGUUGUUCCUAGUGUUGAUGAGUUUUCUUAUUGCAACAAUCGAGGAUUGCCUGCGAGUUUCCGUUAUUUGUUUUGGGCGUACCAUAAGCUUUCCUAAGAGGCCCCAGGUAAGUCAGGCAUGAAUAUUUAUUCAUGGAUCCUAUUUUGGUAUUGGGAUGCCAUGAAGUACCAAAGGCGUUUGAAGAAAAGUGGUCGUAACAAGACAACCAGACCUAAGGGAGACUUGGAUCCAUCAGGUGUCAUUGGUCAAGCUGGGUGCCGUACCCCUACUGAGUUGAAGGCAUUUGAGGAUCUUGGCUUGGCGUCAGAGCACUUGGACGAAUCUUACCUAGUCGCUUUCUUAGCUUGUUGGCUUUGUAAGCUUGUUUUCCCCAAAGACGAAGUCAAUUUCGUCCGUCCCGGAGUCUUCAAAGUUGCUAGCAAGAUGGCUGUAGGUGAAUCUUUUAGCCUUGCUAUUUCAAUCUUAGCCAACAUUUACAAUGGCUUGGGCGUUGUUUCGAACUCGGCCAGCACUGAAGAUCGUGCUGCGGUACUUCCCUACCACUACGUGUAUGGUUGGUUAGGUGAGUACUUUGGCACUCAUUUUUCUUCGUCAACUUUAGACAAGUCAGGGCCUUCUUCACUGACUUCAGUUAAGUUGAGGCCGUUGAUGACGAAGUAUUCUGGCUUGUUUUCUGCGAAGGGCCUUGAUGAUUUGCAGGCACAACCGCUGUUUAGAAAUUAUGAAGGUUUGAGGAUGGAUCACCUGGCGAGAGUGGGCUCGGUGCGGUUAGGCAUCAUGGAUGAUUCGCAUCUUCGCUUCUCAGACUUGUCUUAUCUUAUAAGUCUUCGCUCGGGGUAUGUUUCUUUGCGGCAAGAAGAUUGAUGCAUCGUUUAGCCGUAUAGUCCCCACCGUUUUAGUAGGCAAUUUGGUUUUGUCCAAAAUGUGCCUGGCAAGCUGAAGGAAAAAGCCCGAUUGGAAUCCUUGCAAGCCGUGUAUAUGCAUUGGGAGUCUUGUACCCGUGCAUGUACAAAUGCUUCUAUCACCCUGCCGGCCAAAGAUAAGUUCAAGAACAAUCUGGUGACCCAUGCUUACGUAAAUUGGUGGUCAAAUGUACAUUAUGAAAACUUGGGGACGGCAAGUGGUACCAAUUCUUCUUGCUUACGUAAUGAUGCGCCGAGAGAGGGUUGUUCUGUGAUUCCUACGCAGCUGGUACCGCUUGAUUAUGUGAGUACAACUCCUUUGUAAGAUGGACCUGUGGUUAGUUCCUUAGCGCCCGUGCUUGUCUCCUCAACAUCCGGAUGCUUAUGAAGAGGCAGGUGAUGAAGUUGAUUCGUGCAAAGAUGGACUUGUGUUGCAGCAGCGUCAACAAAUUAUAAACAAACGACCACUUGAAGAUGCUCAAGCUAAUAGCGACGUCAAUUUUUGUCAUAAGAAGAAAGAAGCGUUUAGGCCUUCUCAAUUUGGUGGUCGUGUGUCACUUGAUAAAGAUGUACAUAUUCAUUUCUUUCUUGUGACUUACUUUGCUUUCAUUGUUUUAGCUUUGAUUUCUAACAUCUUUCUUUGUCUUGUUUAGGCUGAGCCUUCUUAUUCUUUUGAUCUGGCGAACGCAGGCGUUCAUUCUUGUAUGGAUAUGAUAUUUGAAGGUAAUUUACCUACAGACAUAGAGAUUGGGGAUCCGUCUAGUGCAGAGCUUGUUCCGAAUAUGCCAAGUUGGCCUAGUUUGUCGUGUGUAGGUGAAGGUAUGCAAGGACCCGUUAUGCAUCCAAUACCUUUGCCAGCUAGCUCUGAGAUCUCUUUAAGAGGGCCAAACAUUCGUGGAACUGAGCAGCUUAUCCGUCGCAUCAGACUGCAUGUGGCUAUGAAUGUCAAAAACCAUAUUGAGGAGAGGAUUUCAAAGUGCCCAUUGGAAGACCUUGCGUUGCUCAAGGAGGAUUUAUCGGAGUUUGUUUCUACGAUUGAUGACCUUAAAGUUGAUUCCUCGCCCUUGAGAGUUCAGAUUGCCGAACUUAUGGCCGCCUCAACUGAGUAUUCUUCCUUGCGUGCUAUUUCCUCGAAAAAGUUGAGUCCAGAUGUUAUAGCUCAACAACUUGCUGGAAUAGACUUAUCAAUUACCCAAGUCUGGUUUUCUCAGCAAGUUGCUUCAGAAGAUUAUCAAUUCACAGGAACCUCUUUAGCUUCCGUCUAAGUGCGUCUGGAAGUGUAGGUGCGGGAGAGAGAGCAGUUGGGAAUCAAACCAUCACGACUUGAAUAUGUUUUUUCGGAGCAGAAAGCUACAAUUUCUCAGUACCAAAAGGAGAUGUCACACCUAGAGCAAGAGAAAUGUAUGGUAAUAGAGUCGCCCACCUUGUCUCCUACCGAUGUGGAGACUUUAAAGACUUUGGAAGGCCUGCUUGAGGAUCGUUGCUGUAGUUUUAGGGACAUAGUUCUCAAGUAAUGUCUUCCUUAAGCCUUCUUUCCUUCUGAUCAAUUUUUUUUUUUGUAAAUAAAGCUUUGUUGCCAAAUCCUUCCUUUAAAGAAAUAAAGUAUUCACAUAUUGAAUUUGCUCUUUAUUCCUCAAAGUGUUUGUGUUUUUGUUGAUGAUGUGAUUGUACUUGAAGUUUUGAAGUUUCAAGUUGCAUACGUACCCUCAGUUGAAGAGGGAUCAAGUCAUGACAUAGUUCAAAUAUAUUUUUUUUUUGAAUUUUUUUUUGUGUCGUACGUAGUUUAUGCUCUUGUGGGCCAGAAGCAUAGUCCGUUUGUUUUAGGAGUAAUAGCGCUUCAAGAAUCUGCCAUUGAUGAGGCCGAUCUUCAAGCCAUCUUCUACCAUGAUUAAGCAUGCGUCAUUAGUGUAGACUUCUUGUAUUACAUAAGGUCCAUCCCACUUUGAUGUCAACUUGCUUUUUGUUUUGUGAGUUGUGAUGAUAGGCCUACGCAAUACAAGGACAAGAUUUCCCAUUUGAAAAGAACAAGGGCGAACUUUCUUUUUUGAAGGCCUUGGUGAGUUGUGCUUGAUAACACUACAAGUGUUGGUAAGCUUCGAGCCUUCUCUCAUCCAGCGCUUCCAGCUCUUAAAAGCGUAACUUUGCAUUCUCUUCUUCAAUCAAGCCUUCUAGUAUGGCCAUCCUUAGUGAGGGGAUUUGACUAUCGAGUGGUAGAACAUCUUCCACGCCAUAUACGAGAGAAUAAGGUGUAGCUUGGGUAGGAGUCUUAUGUGUCUUCCUAUAUAACCAAAGUGCUUCGCUUAUUUUUUCAUGUCAGUCUCUUUUUGUUUGGCCGAUCACAUUCUUUAGGUGGUUGCACAAUGUUUUGUUGAAUGCUUCCGUAAGACCGUUGGCCGGAGCAUGAUACAUGGAAGACUUGUGCUGCUGGAACUUGUAUUCCUCGCAGUGCUCGUCCAUGAGUCGGUUGGAGAACUGUUUUUCGUUGUCAGUGAUAAUGUAGUGAGGCACACCAUAUCGGUGGAUCACCUAGUAGCAUUUCAGUAACGAGCGGGAUCACCCAUCUUUGGUAAACUGGCACGUCUGCAGCUUCGUCUUCUCCUAGUGCCAUACUCGAGGCUAGGUUGGCGAGAGCGUCUGCCAUUUGAUUUUCUUUUCUUGGCACAUGUUCUAGUGUCACAGUCUCGAACUUCUGUAGCAGUUGGGUUGCCAGUUGGAAGUAUGGGACGAGAUCAUCUUUCCUCACCUCAUAUUCAGUUAAGAGUUGAUUGAUUAUGAGCUUGGAGUAGCCAAAUACCUCAAGGGCUGUGAUUCCCAUGUUGAUCGCCAUUUGGAGCCCGAUGAUCAGUGCUUGGUACUCAGCGACGUUGUUGAAGCAUAGUUCGCAUAGUCGGAUGGCAUAAGGUAAUAUUUGCCUAUGUGGCAACAUGAAUACUACUCAUGCCCCUGCGAUCCGUUAAAGAACAUCGUCUAUGUCAGAAAGAUGUCGAUGUAGAACACCUUAUCGUCAAGCAAGUCGUCUGAGAUUUUCCAAUCGGCUGGGAUUGGAUGAUCGGUAAGGAAAUUUGCAGGCCUUUGUCCCUUGACGGCUUUAGCUGGGACGUAGAUGAUCUCGUAUUGAUUGAGAAGCAACGCCCAUUUAGCUAGUCGCCCUGUCAACACUGGUUUCAACAUGACGUAUUUGACUGGGGCAGCUUUAGCAACCAAGUGGAUGGUGUAAGCAUGUAUGUAAUGCCUGAGCUUUUGGAUGGCGAACACCAAGGCGAGGCGCAUCUUUUCUAUUGGGGAGUAGUUCAACUCGACGCCGAUGAGAGUUCGGUUGAGGUAGUAGAGCGCUCUUUCUUUUUGGGAUUCAUUAUCUUGUGCGAAGAGUGCUCCAACUGAACUUUCCUGUGCGGCGAUAUAUAAUAUGAGCGGUUUUUCGGGCACAGGCGCCCCCAGGACAAGUAGACUUGAUAAAUAUUUUUUUAUGCUUUCAAAAGCAUUGUGGCAUGCUUCGUCCCACAUGAACGGAACAUCCUUCUUCAUGAUUCGACUAAACGGUUGACAACGCCCUGUAAGGUUGGAGAUGAAACGCCUGAUGAAGGCUAGUCAUCCUUGUAGACUAUUCAGCUCAUGCAAGUUUCUUGGUUCAGGCAUGCUUUGAAUGGCCUUGAUCUUUGAUUGGUCCACUUCAAUGCCACGGUGCUUAACAAUGAAGCCAAGGAACUUUCCAGAGGUGAUGCCAAAUGCGCACUUUAACGAGUUCAUCUUGAGGUUGUAUUUUCACAACCUUUCGAACACUAUUCGUAAAUCCUUCAAGUGAACUGAUCUUUUCUUUGUCUUGACCACCACAUCGUCUAAAUAACAUUCUAUGUUUUUGUGUAGCAUGUUAUUGAAGAUUUUCUGCAUUGCGCGUUGAUAUGUGGCUCCAGCGUUCUUCAGGCCAAAGGGCAUCAUCUUAUAACAUUAGAUACCUUUUGGAGUGCGAAAGGCUGUUAGUUCCUCGUCUUCAAGUGCCAUGCAGAUUUGAUUGUAUCCAGAAGAGUCGUCCAUGAAUGACAGCGCUUUAUGGCCAGUGGUUGCGUCCCCUAUUAUUUCGAUGAUUGGCAAGAGGAAGUCGUCCUUCGGGAAAACAUCGUAGAGGUCCCAGAAGUCUACGCAAACACGUAUUUGUUCAGAUUUCUUAAGGACAAUGACAAUGUUAGAGAUCCACUUGGGGUAUUGCACCUCUCGAAUAAAGCCUAUUUCGAUUAGCUUGUCAAUCUCAACCUCAAUUUGUGGGAUGAGCUCCUAUCGACAGCGCCUUUGAGUCUGCUUUAUCGGUCGCGUUCCAAGCUUGACUGCAAGAUGAUGCACAGCGAUGACAGGGUCAAGGUCGGGCAUUUCCUUGUAGGUCCAAGCAAAGACGUCUUUGUAAUAUAGCAGCCGUUGGUAAUACUCUUUUGUCUCUUUCGCACUUAGCAGCGCACUUAUGAAGAUAGGCUUCGACUCCUCUUUUGUGCCUAAGUUGAGCUCCUUGAGAUCAUCAACUGUGGCUUGCCCUCUAUCCUCAAGUUAUGGUGGUGCGGUAGUGACGUCUUCCUCGGGGAUUUAAUCUUUUUUUCCUUCUUGGAUCAUGAUGUGAAAGACGUCUUGUUCCUCCUUUUCAGAGCUGUCCUUUCGAGCUUGUUAGCAUAAAGAUUAGCCAGUGUGGAUGAUGGUGCGCCUUCUCACUUUCAGUGAUCCAAUUGUGUCAACCUCCAAGAUUUCUUAGCGCUACAUCCUUGAAGGAAUAGAGCUUCGAACGUCACCUUUUUCUGCUAGCUUGUCUAACUUUUCUUCUUUUGGCGUUGUCUUCCUUUUUUUCAAAGGCUUCUUGUUGUCUUCAAGUCUCUCCAAAGCUGACCGUCGCGGAAGAUAGCUUGCCGUGUUGCUUUGUUUAUUAGGUUUUGACGAUAUUUCAAAAACAGAGCUUUGGGAUGUUGGCACGUUAAGCCUCUUGAACACGGAGGUUUGGUCAUGACCACCAAUGCGAUUAAAUGCCGAAAUUCUGGGCCUUGAACGAUUCAUCCUAUCGAAGACUGACGUUCGAGGGGUGGAUUUAGGUUCAUGCUCACGCUGAUGUGUUGAGUGCUAGCGUUUUUCGCUUUGCUUGAAAUCUUCACGAGUGCAUUUAGUGUGAAGCCAAGUCCAGCUUUAUUGUUGUUGAUUCCGUAACCAUGCUUCUUCAACUUCUUUUGAGUCUCGGUAAGGUCACGUUCUUUAUUGUUGACGGUGUUUAAAACUUUCUUUCCAGGAUUCGAAGAAGAAUAAAAGUCGUACCCAGCCUUCGACAUGAGCUUGUAGGCAUUUGGAUCAAAACCUUCUUCGGUUCUCUUGGUUGGAAGAAAGCUUGGUUCCACCCACUUUGGUAGAGCUUUUAUGAAGCCUUGUGGUAGUCUUGCAACCUUAACAUCGCCUAGAUGUGUCAGAGGAAAAACUGCAUUUGUUUUGAGCAACUUCACAUUAUCCUAGUGCCAUUGUGUGUCGGCUUUGCUUACUCCAGUUUUGAACGGGGAUUAACCAUUAUUUCUUCUUGACAUCAGGAUGUAUCGGAAUACGGGUAUGUUCGGUCCUUUUGAAGGCGUCCUACUCCCUUUGGUUGUUGCAGGUUUAACAGGCUCGUCAUUAUUUUUGCCUAAAAAUGGCAUGGCUUGCCAUUCUUGCUUUUUAGGUGCUGCUUUGCCCGUGGAUUUGAUCUCUUCUAGAAGAGCUUCAGGCAUUAUGUCUUUGUCCAUGUAGAACUUGGAGGAUGUAAUGUAACCCCCAGUGCAUUCCUUGAACGCACAUCUCAAUGGCAGAGGUUUCAGAAAGCCGAUCUUUGCAAUCCAGACUUAACGAACACCAUCUAUUGAUGUAGUUGACGACAGGUUCAUCCUUCCAUUAUUUUGUACUAGUCAGCUCUAGCAUGCUUACCGUGCGGCGAGUGUUAUAGAAGCGAUUGAGGAACUCCCUCUCUAGCUGAUCCUAAUUAUUGAUAUAUUAAUGCUCGAGGUUGGUAUACCAGUCAAAAGUGUUACCUUUCAGCGAGCGCACGAAUUGCUUGACGAGGUAGUCUCCUUCCAUUCCAGCAUUGUUGCAUGUUUUAAUGAAGUGGGCGACAUGUUGCUUUGGGUUUCCUUUUCCAUCGAAUUGCAUGAAUUUUGGCAGCUGAUAACCCUUCAGCAUCUUUAAAGCAUCAAUCUUCUUAGAGUAGGGCUUUGAGUAUAGUACGGAGUCAUGUGAGCUUCCUUCGUACUGCGCCUUGAUAGUGCUGGCGAUCAUCUUCUGUAGCUACUAGAUAGAAAUAGAUCCUAUGAGUGCUGCUGCUUGGUCUAGCUCCGGCUUCACAUCGACUUUCUCCACCAGAGGCUAAUCUUCUUCGCCGGCUCUUCUCUUUAGUGGAUUAACCUUUGGGUCGGGUUUCUUGUCAUCAUAUGCUUCUAGUCGAUUGACGAGUGCAGCGAUUUACAAGUCUUUUUCUUCAACAGUUCGUGUUAGCCUUGCAAUCGCUUCAUUCAUUUGAGCCAGCUGUUCAUCGAUUGAAGUCGCUCUGGUGGUCAUGACUUGCAUGGCUGAACUGCUGCUUGAGUCGGCAUCGAAAAACAUGGAAUCAGAGUACUUCAUUGGGGUUUCCUCCCUUGGUGCCCUUAAUGAGGCCAGGGUGAUCACAAGCUCGUGCCUCGGGUGUUCUUGUUCCUUUGGCAGAGUGUAUGCAGAGGUAGAAGAAGCGGCAAAAAGAGCUUUUGCCUUGCUUCUAGUUAUGAUGACUGAAGUGACACCACUUAUGGCGAUGACGCUCUUGUUUUUCGUGUUGGUUGUAGGAACUGCUUGAACCUUCCUUGAUGCCAUUUGAUUUUCGAAUGUGUGCUCUGAUUUCCUUGAACAGAGAAAGAGAUGAAAGGUAGGGAUGGUCCCAUCGGGCGUGCCAAAUUUGUAAACACAGAAAUUCCUGUGAUGAAUGAGACAAGAACACGUGUACAAAGUAAUAUUUGUAUUAAUGAUUUUGUGGUUACAAUCUCUUCUAUAAACUUAGCCUCUGAUUCGAUCUUCGUAAGGUGUUGAUUUGUGGAUGGGUUGUUGAUCCAAAGGGUCGUCGGGGCUUGAUCUUUGGGAUGUAUAUUUGUGUAGAUUUAUGGAUGGGCUGCUGAUCCAAAGGGUCGUCGGGGCUUGAUCUUGAAAGAGGAUUUGAAGAAUAACGGAAGGAGCUUUCUAGAUCCUUUGGGAUUUGCUUGGGAGCUUUAGAGUUUCAAAGCUUCAAGGUUUUGGUGUGAUGUGAAUUGGUGAUGAAUUGGUGAACUUAAAUCAAGCACGAUAUUCCACGUGAUUGAUGCAAGAACUUCCUACAGCCUGCUCGAAGGAAGGCAUUGGAUCCACGGGAAUGGAGUAGUGCCAUCCACCCUCCACCAAUGCUUAAAAUUCUACCAGUUCAGAGAUCGAAAAGGCACUGCUCUCUGAAUUUAAAAAGUUGGAUUUACUAGAUCAAAGUUUGUCGCCACCCUUCACACGCAACCUCAACUUUGCAGAAAGCGUGGGCAACUUUGUCAAAGAUUUCUGACAAAGUCGAAAACGCACGAAUCUUACUGUUUCAAUUACCCAAUGGUUGACGACAAAAGUAAAAGAAUAGUGCCACUACUGGCUGUUAGGAAAUUCCUAUAUAUGUCAACAUUCGUCCUCCAUAGCAAGGCAGACUUGUAAAAAUGCCCAACCCUUCCUCACCUCCGAGAGUACACUUCCAACAAAGCCUCUUGAAAUACUCAGCUUUCUUCCUAUCCGGGAAUACCCUUGCAAACAAAUGACAUCAAAGCAAAAGUAUCUCAUAUCACCAGGGUCGAAAGCAAGAGUAUCUCAUAUCAUGCUUUUUCCCUAUCUUUUCCUUUACCCUUGCCCUUACUUGCAAGACAAGGAGAAAGAAAGCAAUCAGUCGGAAUCUGAAAUCAAACUUCCGAUCUGGAACUGAUUGCCCUGAACCUUUGCCUGGUUGCUUACCUAACAUUGCUCUUGAGUGCUCAUCGUCGCUAAGAAGUAGUGCUCUGAAAGACCAUUUAAAUGCAAAGGUUGCAUUCCACUCCUGCAUCGAGGGCAAAUACUACAAGAGAUCGAAGCAGAAUGAUCAAUGAUGAGCCGGAACAUAUCACUAUAGCACGACGCCCUUCCCUACAGAACCGCGUAACCCAGAUGGAGGAGUCUAAAUCAAAUCCAAGCUCGGCAUCGUUGCCUUAAUCAAAGAGCUUAAAAAGCUUCAACAGCCUUUCGCCGGCACCGUUGCCGAAGAGCAAAGCCUCGCUGUGCAACGCUGUCAAAUCGCCACCACUUCUUCGAAAGCAAGAGUAUCUCAUAUCAUGCUUUCUCUCUGUCCCUUUCCUUGUCCUUGUUCUUACCUACAGGACAAGAAGAAAGAGAGAAAUCAGUCAGAACUUAAAGUCAAACUCCCAGUCAGGAACCGACUGCCUGAAACCCUUCCCUGAUUACUUUCCUAGCAUUGCUCUGCUGGGGAAAUAGACAAGGCAGCAGAAGAUACCACAUCUACCUGAAGAACAGAUAAGGCAAGUGAAAAUGAUACAUUGAAGCAUGUGGAAACAAGCACAACAAAACACGUGUCGAUUCAUCCGCUACUUCUUCAAAAACAAAAAUAUCUCAUAUCAUCAAGGUUGCAAUUAUUCUAGAUUUGGCGGACUUAUUUUAACCCUUAAAUUCUUGAGUCGACUCGCUAGGAGUUGUGAGUUGCACAUGCCGAUUCACCACCCUUAAAUCAAAUCCUUAAAGAUCAAGUCACCAACUUGAAGAAAUCACGUCUGAUUCAAGAUCAAGUGUCCACCAUCCUUGAACCAAAUUCAGCUCCAGAUAAAAAGAGUAAAUCCAGACAUUUUGGUGCAAGUCUAGCAGAAGAAACCCCUUAGCCCAGUUCAAGAAUAAGCCUAUGGAAAGUCAACAAUUGGAGGAAACCAGAAAAUCAUCCAAUCCAGUUCAAGAUCAAAGCUGUGGAAAUUCAACAAACGCAACAAAAUACGUGCCGAUUCAUCCACUACCAAAGCCAAAGAUCAUCUACCACGUGAAGCUCCUUGUGGUCCAAUUUAAUUCAAGAUCAAACCUUGACCGCCCUUGAAGAAAUUUCAAACAAAGUUCAAGAACAAGCCUUAACAGCUAUUGAAGAAACUUCCAGCCCAAUUCAAGAUCAAGCCUCAACGGCCCUUGAAGAAAUCUCCAGCCCAAUUCAAGAUCAAGCCUCGAUAGCCCUUCAACAUCUACAUUAAGGGACUUCAAAACGCAUCUCUUACACAUGACAAGCACAUGUAUAUGACGCGCCUUGAAGUGGGGGCAUUUGUAGACAUCGAAAUUUCGGUGAAAUAAAUGUUGACCAAUAAUUACAAUUUCAACGCUCACGUGUCACAUAAAUUUUACACGUAGCGUGUGACUAAACGAAAAAUCAAAAUAAAUCAGAAAAGUCAUCAAAUAAGGACACGUGUCAACACCUGGCAUAAAUGAAUUAUUUCAUCUGAAUAUUAUAUUCAAAAUUAGGCCUUGAAAAAUUCUAUAAAUACAAGGCCAUUUCAUUCAUUUUAGGACACCAAUUCAUCACCAAUUCACAUCUCACCAAAACCUUGAAGCUUUGAAACUCUAAAGCUCCUAAGCAAAUCCCAAAGGAUCAAGAAAGCUCCCUCCGUUCUUCGUCAAAUCUUCCUUCAAGAUCAAGCCCCAACGGCCCUUGAAGAACGUCCACCAAUUCAAGAUCAAGCCCUGACGGCCCUUGAACAAAGUAUUCAUCAUUCAUCAUCUAUUCAUCCUAAGAUCAAACCCCAACGGCCUUUUGGAUCAACAACAUCAACAAAUCCACACAUCCGUUCUUCAAGAUCAAGCCCAAAAGUCCUUGAAGAUCCAUUCAUCCGUUCGUCCAGAUCAAGCCCAACGGCCCUUGAAAAAACCAUCCGUACACCACUGUUCAUCCUAAAGAUCAAGCCCCGACGGUCUUUUGGAUCAGCAGCCCAUCCAUAAAUCUACACAACUAUACAUCCUAAAGAUCAAGCCCCGACGACCCUUUGGAUCAACAACCUAUCCACAAAUCAACACCUUACCAAGAUCGAAUCAGAGGCUAAAUUUGUAGAAGAGAUUGUAACCACAAAAUCAUUAAUACAAAUAUUAUUUUGUACACGUGUUCUUGUCUCAUUCAUCACAGGAAUUUCCGUGUUUACAGUGAUAUAAUCAUCUCAGUGAGUAUUUGAUCAAAGAAGGGUAUACCAACGAUAUCAUUUGCCCUUAUGUGUUCAUUAAAAAAUCCAACUCUAGAUUUGUUAUAGUGGCAGUAUGUGUUGAUGAUAUGAACCUAGUUUGAACCCCUGAAGAACUCAAUAAAACUACUGAAUAUCUGAAAAGUGAAUUUGAAAUUAAGGACCUUGGAAAAACAAAAUAUUGUCUUGGCUUGCAAAUCGAGCAUUGUGCUAGUGGAAUUUUGGUCCACCAAUCAGCUUACAUUGAAAAAAUCCUGAAACGAUUUGGCAUGGACAAGACUUAUUCACUAAGCACGCCAAUGGUCAUUCGUUCUUUGGACGUUAAGAAAGAUCCAUUCCGUCCAAAAGAAGAUGAUGAUCUGGUCAUUGGUCCAGAAGUACCAUAUUUGAGUGCAAUAGGUGCUUUAUUUUAUUUAGCACAAUGUACUAGACCAGAUAUAGUUUUUUCAGUCAACUUGUUAGCAAGAUAUAGCUCUACUCCAACAAUUUGUCAUUGGAAGGGAGUCAAAAAUGUAUUGCGAUACCUUCGUGGGACAACAAACAUGAGUCUCUUUUACUAAAAGAAAUCCACAAAUGACAAGGUCCUUGUUGGAUAUGCAGAUGCUGGUUUUCUCUCUGAUCCGCAUAAGGCCUGCUCACAAACUAGAUAUGUGUUCAAGAAUGUAGAUACAGCAAUCUCUUGGCGCUCAACAAAGCAAACAUUAGUUGCUACAUCUUUAAAUCAUUCAGAAAUACUUGCUUUACAUGAAGCAAGUCGUGAAUGUUCUUGGUUAAGAUCAAUGAUCCAUCAUAUUCGGAAUUCAUGUGGUCUACCCUCAAAGACAGACACUUCAACUGUCAUCUAUGAAGAUAAUGCAACCUAUGUUGCCCAAAUGAAAGAAUGAUUCAUCAAGGGCAAUAAAACUAAACACAUAUCUCUAAAGUUUUUCAGUGCACAUGAGCUUAAGAAGGCUAAAGUUAUUAAAGUCAGAUAAAUCCGUUCCAAUGAAAAUCUAGCAGACUUGUUCACCAAAUCUCUACCAAAAUGCACGUUUCAGAAGAUAGUGCAAAGUAUUGGAUUAUGUCGACUUACCCAUCAGAUAAAUUUGGAGAAUGCGAAAUCAAUGGGAGAUAUAUAUCAGGAGGAGCAUCCAUGAUACAUGCAUGUUGUACUUUUUUUCUUUCGCUAUGGUUUUUUUUUCCACUGAGUUUUUCCAAGCAAUGUUUUAAUGAGGCAACUGAUGUUGAUAUGUGGGCAUUCAAGGGGGAGUGUUGAAAACAUUGGCAGUGUUGAAAAUGUUUGGCAGAUUAAUGAAUGCCCACACAGAUUUUCAAUACCCACACAGUAAUGUGGACUUUGGAAAUGAAGGAGAUCGUAUUUUCAAAAGAUGUGUGUUGUAAAUUUCAAAAUGUAAUAAUACGUUUGUUUGGAGUUGCUCUAUAAAUAGAGCGCUCCGACUACUAUCAAGAUAUACAGAAAGAACAAGAAAUAUCAAUAACAUCAUUAUCUAUCCCUCCCUCUUUUAUUUGUCAUCCCCUUGUGUUAUAGUUACAGUGUGAUAUUUUACACCUACUUCGCUCAUGUCACUAGUAAAGGUUAUCUCUCUAACUUUUACCUAUUUAUAACAAUGUUUGAUUAUUGCAUAGAUGAAGAAAUGAACUAAAGUUUUUGUACAGAAAGUCUUGAUUUUUAUUGUUCUUUUGGAAUGAAGAAAGGGAUGCAAAAACAAAAGGGUGGCGUGGAAUCACAAUUUUAAGGCCUAGAGUAAAACAAUGGUCCCUCAACUUUAAUCAAAUUGGAGCAAUGGUCCCUCAACUAAAAAUUCAUUACCAUUGGUUCUUCAACUCAUCAAAACAUGUAGUUAUGGUCUUAUUUGUCAACUUCAUCAGAAUUUUGUCAAAAUGGGCUAUGUUGGAAUGACCAUUGCUACUAUUGGGUUGAGGUUGAGGAACAUUUCUUAAAUUGGGUUAAAGUUGAAAGGAAAGAAACAAUGUUGUUUUUCAAAAUAAUACCAUCAACCCAUUUAGAAUUGUGUUAUUGCCACUAAAUUUGGUGAAGAUUAUUUAAAUGCAAAUAAAAAAAGUUAGUAAAAGAAAACUUGUUUAUCAAAUGGUCUCCUCCAUGAAGGGGGAACCUUAAACUAAACUUUGACAGUUCUGUAAUUAACAGCCAUGUUGCUGUUGCUGGCCUUGUUGUGAGGGUUGAAAAUGGCACCCGUAUUCUUGUUGGAGCUUGGGAGAAAACACUAUCAAUGUUGCGGAAUGUGUUGGUCUGAGAGAUGCGCAUUGGAUGGCUAGAUCCCAGGGUUUCAGAAAAAUCCAAAUUGAGGGUGACUCGAAGCCUGUGAUUGACUCUAUUCUUAGUCGUUGCUUGAUUCCUUGGAGAUUAAAAAUCAUUAUUGCAGAUAUCAAGAUCUUGGCUAGCUGGUUUGAGGACAUCUCUUGGAGCCAUAUCUUUAGGGAGGCCAACUUUUUGGCAGAUGCAAUCACGGAUGUGGGUUUUAGAUUUAGCAACCUUCAUGUGUGGGAUAGAACUAUUCCUAGUGUUGCUCAUACAGCACUCCUAUGUGAUUGUAUGCAACCUGGAUAUACUCGUGGUCAUUCUUUUUAAUUUUACUGUCUUUUCUUUCAAAAAAGGAAAAAAAUAAAAAUAAAAAAGCUUGAAAUGGGCCGGGGCAGAUUUUCUUGGUUCAAAGUUAAAAGUUUUUCGAAAGAGAAACAUGCAUAAUCAUGAUUGAGGGAUCACAUCAUAUAUCAAUGUUGUGUUGCAUGUGAUCAUUCGGUUGAGUGAUACUCUGUUUUCAUUUCUUUAGAAGAUAAAUUGAAUAUAAAUAGUACCUGAUGAAAACUGAUCAUACGAUGUACGAUGAAGAUAAAUUGAAUAUAAAUAGUACCUGAUGAAAACUGAUCAGACGAUAUACGAUGAACGGAUGUAAUUGGAGGAUUCUGAGGAUCCUCAUUCCCUUAUAUCCACACGACAUAUCAUUCAAAUUUGAAGAGUGAUGUGUCAACUCUAAAUCUAUAUGAGAGCCAAGAAAGAAAAAUAAAGCAAAAAACAUAAUCGCAUUCUUGAAAUCCCAAUAAAGGCAGCCAGGCACUAAAUUCUGCGUGUGAUUAUUAGAGCUCUUUUAGGUGUGGUGGCUUAAGAUAACGAGAACAUUUCACUGUAUAUGAGUUUUAACUUUUUAGUGCAUUGGAGAUGAUUUAAAUUGGACAGCGAUUGAAAUUAGAAAAUGGCAAAAAAACAACACAAGUAUGAAGUUUCACAUGUGCAAUAAUUGAUCGAUUCAUACCAACAUUUAUACUUUCAUUGUUUUCAACAUAGAAUUGAGAUUUUCUUCAUCGAUUUAGUUACAAUAAUUCAUAAGUCACAUGCAUAAUUAAUUGAUGACUAAAAAGUAAUCGAGAAAUGUUAACAAGACUCAAAAGUAGGACUUUCCACUGACACCUCGUAUUGCCCAAUCAAAAUGUCCUCUUUUUUCCUCUCCCAUUUCCUUACCUCUGUCUAUUGCAUUGGCACAAUAAAUCAAGUCGUACCCAGUGCACAAGGCUCCCGCUUUACGCAGGGUCUGGGAGAGGUGAAUGUCGGCUAGCCUUACCCCCAUUUAUGGAAAGGCUGCUCCCAAGCACAAUAAAUCAAGUGAGUGAACAAAAUUUCGAGAGAGAGAGAGAGCUUAAUGCUUGCAUUGGCACGAAAUCAGAUCAGUGAACAAAAUUUCUACAAUGGAUCCAUACGUACACAAAGAAAAACCUUACAGUUAUUUGAAUCGCCGAUAUUUUAGCUCCCUUGUUGGACGCCAUACUUGUCAAAAGGCCUCAGAAGUCUCCAUUGAAACGUUUCCCUAAGCACAAGUAUAUAUUGAUGCCAUUGACGACUAGCUGCUUCAUCACCUCAUCGCUGCUGUUAAUGCUUUCAGAGCCCUUCUUACACUUCACUCUUAGUAAGAUGAGGUUCAGCAAAUGAAGAUGGGUUCUCAGAAGGUCCAGUUCCGGUAUCUCCAUUCUCAAUGGGCAGUUGUUCCUCGUUGUACCUCGAUCUUGACGAGCAUUUACUCAGUGCUUCUGGUUGUACAACCAUCAUAUUGCCAACUGCUUUUGAGUCCUGACUACAAUCAGAAUCAUUUACCAAGUUCUCACAAGGCCCGUCAAUACUGGCAGCAUCAUCAGCGGAGGAUGGCUGAUUACUCGUGCUUCCAUUCUUGUUUUCAGUUUCCAUUCUAUCACUUUCUGAAAUGACACCUGGAACUUCAGCAUCUUCGACCACUUGUGAUUCAACAGGCAUAGAUGCAGAUGGGGGAGUCUUUUUAUACACAGUAUUGUCCUCAGAUGUCUUGCAAAUAACAGCGGGUUCAAUAUCGUGGCUGUGGUGAUCAUCAGGAUGAGUUACUGUGCAUUGCUCCACAAACUCCAUUGUUGAGGAAGGGAUAUUCAUGUCCUCAUCCAUCGUAUUUUCUUGGCUAUUUCUAUUUAAGAUGUCAUCCUCAAAUCCAGUUGUGCGGGCAUCAUCAGCAGGAGGCAGGUCUUCAAGCUCUCUGUUAAACAAUGACCUCUGUCUGCUUUCAGGGAAGACACUGCUAGACACAACCUCGUCAACAGAAUGCAACCCGGGUGGGGAAAUGCAGAUGGAUGACGGGUCGACAUCCAUCUCAUCGCAAGUAAUUUCUUCUCCAUAACUCUCAUUACAUAUGUCAUCUCCACAUGCUACCAAACUACUCGAUUCAGUAGCCACUUUACCCUUGGUUCUCUCAGCAGCUACAUCUCCAUCUCCAUCCCCACAGUUAUUCUCAUUUAGAGAUAAUACUUCCUCAUUUAUUGGAUCCUCAUUUACUAAUUCUUGAUCUCGAUUGGCAAAAAAUGCCACAUCCAUUGCGGUAUUGUUGCUUUCCAAAUUAUUUAGUCCACUUAAUUGCUUCUGUACAAAUACUGCUAAAGAAACAGCAUGAUCACGAAUCAAAGAAUCAUGAGGUGGGCAGUGCAGCAAAUCAAUCAAGGCCUUGUGGUACUGCAAAAGGCUGAUAGAUGGUGUAGACGACCUUUUCCGGCAAACGUUAAUAACUUUGAGUAUAUGUUCACACAGGUUGCCCAUUUCUGCCCAACGACAGUUGCAAAUACUGAACUGAGAACCAGGGUUCCAAACAACAUAAACCCUGUCUUGGUCGAGCUCGUCAAUAACUUUUGCACGUGUACCCUCUAUGACAAUAUUGCGGUCAGGAAUCUUCAAAGCUUUACGCCAAGAUGUUAAACCACUCGCCCACUCAUCUUUCCAAUAUCGUGCAAAAUCAUCCUUCUCAGAAUAUUCAUCAAGCCAGAAGUUGGAAUACACUUUUGUACCGAGCUUAUCAACCAACCAAUCAACUCGUUUGUACACGCUAGGUUUCUUCUCGUUCAAUAACCGAAGCUUUAGUUGGUUGUGGUAGAACUCCAUUGCCGCAGAGGUUUCCUGGCUAGCAAGAGGAAGAUUUUGUAGCGCAGAGAUCCACAUCCCUAAGUCAAAAGACAUUUUUCUUGUAUGAGUUCUUCAAGAUAAAGCAAAAGAGAAAUGGUUCCUAUUUAAAGAGAAGGGGGAGAAUGAAAAUGAAAAACGCUACUAUCUCCAAGACCAAGUUUUAUCUUGAUCCCACACAAUACAUUGAUCUUCUGCCACAUAAAGGUUGCCUUAAAUUCGGCAGCCCAAUUGUUAACAUAACCUAUUCCCAUCUACGCAGAGAAAUAUAUCGCAUGCCAAGCAUUCACGUAUCAGCAUAUGAAGAUACCAUUACACAAACACAUAUACGUGAACAUCCACAAAUUUAUCCACUUAUAUUGUAGAAUUUAUGAGCAUAUUGUAUGCGUGCAUAUGUUGACCUGUAUGUAUGCAACACACAAUCAAAUCAAUCUUAUGCAUAACAAUUGGCAGGUUAGGUCUUAAGAGAUACAUACAUAGGCAUAGAUGUAGAUUAGUAAUGAUAAGAACCAAUUAAAGGACACUUGUUACUUCGUAUCAUAAGGCAAAAUAUACCUGUACUAAAUAUGAUAGUGACUUACCAGUUCUAGGAUACCAGGUUGCCUUAAAGUAAUCCAUAAAAUCUGAUUCAUCAAGAAAAUCUUCUAUUAAGUCCUCAAACAAACGCUCAGUUCCUCGUUGUUCACAGAUGUUAUCCAUUGCCUGAUGAAGCCUUCUUGAUAUUGUAGCUCGCAUCUCAUUGUCCACACAUUUCUUUACUAAGUUUUUAUGCCAUGCAUGACGGACCCGCCAAAAGCUUAUCAACACUGAACACUGGAAUACAUCCCUGAGUAUAAUGAAAAAACAAUAUUUACUUAUCAAUUCAUGCAUGUAUUAAUCCAUUAAUAACAUGAAGAAGAAAUACUAUUAUGAAUCAUGUCAGACUGCCUUGCUCCAUGUCAGAUAGUUGACUGUAAUGUCACUGGCCCAAACCCCAAAAAGGCAUAGCAUAAAAUUGGAUAUCAAAACAAAGAAAAAGAAUGAUUUAUUUUCCGGCCUUCAGCUUUGAUUUUAAACAUUUGUUGGCAUUCACAAGACUCAGUUGAAUUAAAUUACAAGUUGUAAAAACCAUGCACAACAAAUCACUCAAUACUGAUGCAUAAACUAGAUAGUCUGGCCCGAUCAAGAGGAAUCAUUAAUUUGAAGGAGAGCAACCCACCCGCUUAGCAUAAUAAAAAUACAAUUGGAUAUUUUAUUUAUAAGUAAACAACUGAAAUUGAAUAUAUUGCAAUAGGUUAAUCAGUAAUCAUGUAGUUAUUUCACAUUGCCACUUCUGUAGGAAAUAACCUACGGACUGUUUGCUACCAAACAAAACAUUAGUGACUAAAAUUGUCAGUAUGAAGUUUGGACGAGAACUGAGCAACCAACCUGAUGGUGAGCACAUCAGCUAGAGGAUCAUCCACUAUGAAACCAGCUAACUUCCAUGCAGGAUCUUUCGUUUGAACUCUAUUGUAAAGAGCUCUCAUCCAUUUAUGGGCAUUGGAACUUUCAAACUUUGGAGCCACUAUCCACGCUACCGGAAUGGCCUUGUUGUCUUCAUUAAAUACAAGGAGACUAUGCACGGGAUACUAAAUAACGUUGCAACGUGAACACAUUCAGUUUCUCAUUAUUAUUAACAAUUGUAGUUAAUAAUAAAAGGUUAAACAUACUAAACAGACCUUCAAUUUGGUUGUUCCGAACCUUGAAUCAGAAGCUAUAAGGCUGCGAUUGCCGAAGCGAAUCAUCUGUUGCAACUGCCACUCUGUUUGAAUGCCCAAAGUGAAAGGGUCCACAUCAGAGAAAUCCUCAUAGAAGAAAACAUGACUCUGAUGGUUUUCUACCCACAAGCUAAUGCUAACCACAUCAUCGGCAUCCAAUUCAUAUACAGAACGUCGAAUGACCCUCUCCUGCCUCCGAACAUACCUAUGGGUUAAAAGGUCAUCACGAUUAGAUGGACCACCCUGUUUCUCUACUGAUUCAUUGUGUCUCUGCAUUAUAGUCUCCACAGAGACCCCCACGUAUAACAAAGAUUGCACACGAAGACGUAGAUCCUCAGAGAUAUAAGGGGCAAACAUAGCACGUGUUCCAGCAGCCAUCUUAUCUUGGGGGCCAUGGCAGGGCUCUCCUUUCCUAUCUACAUGCUUAUCCUGAUUAUAUAUAAUAAGCGCCACUGAGGGUUCAGCAAUUAAUCGUUUCACAAUAAAGUGACAGGUACAACCUCUCUUGGUGUUCGGUCGACCAGCAUUUUUCUUCUUUGGGAUAUUAACCCUGCUGGGUCGUACAAGCCCACCCUUCCUAUGGUCAUCAGGACCAAAGGAACACCAAUAUCUACACAUUUGAAAAAAGAUAGUUUAGGCUGAUAGAAUACAGGAAUGCUGGCUAAAAUGGACACGGGGGGAGAAAUCGGAACUUACAGAAUAUAUUCAAGAAUACCAUCAACCUUUGGUUUGUAAGGCGUCUUUGGCUGCCGCCGCCGCCUCGCUUCAACAUGAAAUUUUGUUGGACAUUCUUUACUAGAGGAUUCACCCCUCAGAAAAUCGUCAACUCGAGGAAAUGGAAUUAGAGCAACUCGAUCUUUCUUGUCCCGCCAACCUUCCACCUUUGACCACACAAGAUCCGAAGAAGAAAACUCCAGUGCAGGUGGACUCUGUACAGGAAGGGACAGAAUCUCAUCCCAUCUAGCCAUCUACAAUGAAUAAACAGAAAUGAAAAAUUUAAUAAAAACAAUAAUGCAAUGGUCAUUUUAGCAGAACACUCUAGACCAAAAUCCGGAAGUUAACCUUGAUAGCCCUACCCUAUAAGAAACUACUACUUAGGCCUUGUAUUAUGAAUUCAGCUCAACUGAAGUAAAACGACAUGGUCAAACUUAUACGAAUUGGCUGUUCAAAUCCUAUGCAAAACUCAUGUCAAUAUAGUUUAACACCAGGCCUUCCCAACUUGAACACGUGCUUAACUGCUUAUUGCCGUAGUUUUCAUUCUAGUAUCACUAUCCAAUUCCUUCAAGCUAUCCUCAGUUAAACUCAUCUCUAAUUUCCCAAAUACUACAUUUAACCCCUAUUAUCUGUUUCUCCUUGUAACUACACAUCCAAGUUACAUAAAUACUUCACACUGAGGUAAAUAACAAAUAAUCCAUGUGCACUGGCAAAACCGGGAUUUCAAUUUUGGCUGCAGUGAAACUUAGACUAAACUUUGGUGCUUCCCAAGCAAAAAAGUUUGUCAAAUUUUGGCAACAAUCCUUGUAUUUCUUUGAAAAUUUUCAAAUUAAAAUCGAAAAUUUGCAGCAGCCACUUAAAGAUAAAAUAUAUAAUGCGCUAAACCAAAAUAUAAAAAAAAAAAUUGCAUAUACAUAUUCACGAUAAUUACAGCCUCCAUAUCAAAUUGCAACGAAAUCCCGAACAUAACAACUCUAAAUUCAACAAAAUCACUGUCGUAGUUUGAAUUUUAAACAAAUUCCUAAUAAUCACACCAAACCCUUAUCUAUUAGUUGAAUAAAAGGUUUUUCAAAUCGAAAAACUGAACAAAAAUGGCGGAUUUUGCAGCUGGCUUCAUACAGUCACACAAUAACAGUAACACAGGUCCUUUUUGCCCUAAGGAGGACCAAACAAUGUCAAAAACUUCAAAUCUGAUAACAAGAAAACAAACAAACAAACAAAAAAAGAAGAAACAAUUUAAUUCAUGCAAUACAUUUCCUUCCCAACAACAAGUUCAAAACUUUAGCAAACAAUUUAAUUUAUUUCUUCUGUUUUCAUAACUUCUCAGAGAUUACACAGUCGAAAACACAAAAUUAAAGGCAAAAAAAAAGAGAAUUAUUUGAGUUUUCUGAUAUGUAUUUAGUUGAGCUAUAUCGAUUUACGGACACAAGUAUGUAUGUAUAUGUAUAUAUGUAUGUAUAUUUAUAUAUUAAGGGGUAGAAGUUAGGGUUAGGGAUACCUGGUAAGAGAAGGGCAACAGGGAGAAGGAGGUUGCGCACUUGUGGUGUCUGCGGAGAUUGGAGACGGAGAGAGAGGGAAGGACUGAACCCCCAAAAACCCUUUCGUCGUGUAAUUUUCUCUUUGUGUUUCUACUUCUUGCUAUUUCAUCCAACUUUGCAGUAUUUGCAAAAAGGGCCAACUAUUCUUGAAAAACCCUUAGACUUACACUUUUUCCUUUUUAGUAAAUUAGCUCAUAAUACGCAAAUAAUACACUUAUUUAACAACAAAUUUCUGCAAGUGGCCAUUUACCAGUAGAAAAGUGUUGAGCCAUUGCAUGAAAGCGUGGAUUCAACCUCCGUCGUUGGCUAAUCCAACAUCUAAUUUAACAAAAUUCAUCGUUUUUAGCGUGUACUUUUCACAUUUAAUAAGGUUAUAAAAAGAGAGAAAUGGGAGGUUAUUUAGCAGGAGUCGUUUCGUUUGUAUGCCACGAGGUCCCUAUGGACAAGGGGACAAGUGAAUCAUCGCUUUUGGGCAUAGGCAGCCCUCUACCAUCCAUCCAUUUGCAUUCCAUCGUCUUUUCGGAUGAUCAACCACACUUGGACUGAGACACCUACUUAUUAUUCAAAGGUGAAUCACAAAACACUAAAAGUUGUGGUCUCUCUUAUGGACCUAACAUAGGUCACAUCCCUCAAAAUAUUAACAACUUAAAAAAUAAAAAUUCCCUUCAUUUAUAUAAUAACAUGUGGUAUUCCACCGUAUUCUAGACACAAUAGAAAAUUUCUCGCGCUUGGUAGAGGAGGCAUUUUUGCUGGACUUGCGAGUUUUGGUACACUUCAUCCAACCCAUGGGCCACUUAACUCAGUAUAGUUAUUGGCCUCGAUGGCUUAGCAAAGCUCAAAUCCUUUCCUCGCACCUAGCAAGGCCUAAUCUUGAUGAAGGAAUAAGCCCAUCAGUGCUCGAUAAGAAAUGAUCGUGCGUGAUGACUGAUGGGAUAACAAUCUCUAGAAUCGUGGCCCAGUCAUGAGCCCUCCAAUGAUACUCAGUAAUACGACCUUGUGGUAUUUUUCCUCAUGCGAGAACUGCAGUGCAGUUUUUGUUUUGUGGUUCUGUUUUCUGUGUAUUCAGAAAUAGCAUAUUUGUGUUACCAUUUUCCAUGGGUUGGGGUUCAAAGCUUUACUCGCUUCUCACUAGACCGACCACUUGGCGUUUCACAAUCUUAAUUAAAUACAAAAUUAAAAAGAAAAAUAAAACAAAAGAGGCAACCAUCGAGUGCAUAGAAUAGGAACUACUGAACUAGGAAGUCUGGGAAAAUUGAAAAUUGAGGUUAAAGUGGAACCAUUUUACCUUUAAAAAUCAUCUAUUAACUUGCUGGUUUUCUCUAACCACAAACUCAAGUCAAUGUCACAGAUGUCUCCAAGUACCUAAAUAUUUUCUGUACGAGAAACGCUCGAACCAGUGUUUCGGAGCAGCUGGAUGAAUUCCAGAAACCCGCGCUACAAAUGUCUUCUCACUGGUAGCAAUCAUGGUGGCAAUAGAGUAGCUUUCAAAAUGCAAACCCUUCUUCUCUUUGAGCCACACAUAAAAUCUAUAUCUGGGCAUGAUCCGGUUCUCCAAGUUGAAACAAAGAAAUGAUGGAAAAAUAUUGAGGUACUCCAAAGAAGAUUUCAUUUCCUCACUAAGAAAGCUUACUUUCGCUUCUAGAAAUUCUGGACUCUGAUUCAAGAUCUUCGGUUUCAUUCUUAUCAUUAAACAAAGCCGUGAGAAUUCAAUGCCCGUCGAAAGAAGGAUAUCAAACCGCUUUUGUAACUCGCUGCUUCUGCCAUGCAACUGGGAUAAGCACAUUAGCGUCAAAGGGUUCUCUCCAAAUCCAAUUCUAUGCAUGAAAUCCAGUUUUCCCAUGGUAUGAAUGGGAGUCGUCGUAGAUUGGAUCCUCUCCAAUCCUUCACUAAAUUCUUUCGCAAUGCCUUCAUCAAAGUCACUGAUUACGUAAUUAGCUAAUAAGUUAUGUUCAUUCUUAAUCUUAGUGAAGAACCAUUGAUGAAGAUCCAGAGCCCUUACCAAAUGUGGUAAAUUAGCCAUUCUAUUCUUUCCCAUCACAUGAGGGUACUUUUCACUCACCGCCUCCAAUUCUUUCGCGUUCAAUCCAAAAUGUUUCAGCAACCCCAAUGCUGAUAUCUCCGGCGUUUCCAGGUCAAGGUUUAAAACCUCCGGACUUUGAAGAAGCAGCAUCCCGACAUGUUCCAUCCUAACACCAAAUUUAUGAAAGUAGUUUGAUUUCUGCAACAAAACCUCUUCCGGGCAUUCAAGAAAAAUGUCUUUCUUCCUCCCCAUCAAUUCCCCUACCUUCCCUUUCUUGCAACCCAAAUCGUAAAACACACUAACUUUCUUACAAACACCAUACCAAGCAUCCACAUUUCCCUCAACACAAUUUUCCAAAUUAAAAUCCACAAGAACCCUUUUCAAAUCAACGAGCAAAUCCGCAGUAUCACCGCCCGGCUCGCCCUCCAGCAGCAGCAAAUGAGGGAAAGCCAAGCACAUACCCACAACAGAAUGGUUGCUGAACCCACAUUUCUUCAACCUAGUAAGCCUAGCUUUCAACACCUCUGAACUCUCACUAAAAAUCGAAAUCUCCUCCUCAUACAACUUCCCUAACAUAUUCCAAGGAAACCCAAACCCGGAAAGUAGCGAAGCAACAUCCAAAAGGGUCGGAUCCUCAGAGAAAAAGUACUUGUCGGGAGGCAAAAAGUCACAAACUUGACUGUAAUGUAUGCCAAUGCUUUCAAAGAAAAACUCAAAUUCGUUGAUGGGGUGGUACCUGAGGAACCUCUCGAAGCGGUUGGAGAAAUUCGGGGCCGAAAAUUUGAUCUGCUUGAUGAGAUUGGCUAGGGAGAAGAGGGAGUUUCUGCUGAUGUGCUCGGCGGAGGGGAAGGACAAGCAGCGGGUGGCGUGGAGGUAGUCGGUGAGGACCUGCUGAGCUUGGCUGAUGGUUUCGGACUUGUACCUUGGGGGGACGUUGGGGAGCUUCGGGAGCCUUGCGGCGGCGGAGGCGGCGGCGGCGGUUGCAGCGGAGAAAUGGUGGGAAAGGAGGAGGGUGUAGAGGCAUUUGGGCAGGGGCAUGCUAUCACUCCUUCUAAAGGGCAAAACAUGUAAUUUCGUAUUCGGCUUGGUUUUACAUCCCAUCCCUUUCGUUACUUAAGGCCACCCCCAACUCCAAAUCCCAACUUUCCUAGUUCCUGCCACCCUAGUACCCAUACCCGGGUCCGAGUCCGCCCAAUCGCGGCCCUGAAGCGCCGCCGUGACGACGAGUUUGCUGCGGUGUUCGUUUCCUUCUCAAGGUCACAAGGUUUUCUAUUCCAUCUAUUUUCCUAAUUACUGUUUCUUGAAUUCCUGAUUCAUUUGGCAAUUCAUUGAAAAAUCAAACAGACCAUCAAACCUCUGAAACUCUGCAAUGCUUACACAUCUUAAAUUUCGCCACAUUCUCUGUACAGUUCAAUCCAGCAGGCCAGAAACCCUAAUCCCUUUUACCCAGUUCAAUAGAUAUUGUCAUUUUCAAUCUACAACGGGUUUCUAUUCUUCGAAUCCUUCCUCGUGUUUGGCACCAAAGAAAAUUUCUGAAAACAGUGUUGCGAUUUUCUGGGAUUUGGAUACCAGACCACCCAAAUCAGUCUCACCGUACAAAGCCGCCGUCAAGCUCAAGACUGCGGCUUCAUCUUUCGGGAUUGUCCGGCAUAUGAUAGCGUAUGCGAAUCGAAAUGCGUUGAACUAUGUUCCACAAGUUAUUUGGGAAAGGAAAGAGAGGAAUAGGGUUGUGAUUAGGGAUGGUGAGUCGAAUAUAUGUCCGGUUUGUGGGAGAAGAUUUUAUACCAAUGAGAAGCUUAUGAAUCAUUUUAAGCAGAUUCAUGAGACGGAACAUGUGAAGAGGUUGAAUCAGAUUGAGUCUGCUAGAGGGAGUAGGAGAGUGAAGUUGGUGGGUAAGUAUUCCAUGAAGAUGGAGAAGUAUAAGAAAGCUGCAAGGGAUGUUUUGACAACCAAGGUGGGGCGUGGUUUAGCGGAUGAGGUGGAGCAGGCAGGGUUUUGGAUUCGGAGUGUGUUGGAUAAGCCACAGGGGGUGAAAGUCGCAUUGAGAAAUCACAUUGUGGACAUGAUGGAUCACAGGAGAGUUGACUGUUUGAUGCUUGUGUCGGAUGAUUCGCAUUUUGUGGAUGUUGUGAUGGAGGCAAAGUUGAGAUGUCUGAAGACGGUUGUUGUGGGGGAUUUUGGCGAUGGGGCUCUGAAGAGGGCUGCGGAUUCUGGUUUUUCUUGGAAUGAAAUUUUGAUUGGGAAGGCUGAAAAGGAGGCAGUGUCAGUUGUGGGGAAAUGGAAAGACCGUGAUGUGUUGAAGAGAUUGGAGUGGACGUACAAGCCAGAUGGGGAUCAAAGUUUGCAUAAAUGGAAUGAUGAGGUUUAUGGUGAAAGCGAGAGAUUGGAGUGGACAGACAAGUCAGAUGGGGAUCAAAGUUUGCAUAAAUGGAAUGAUGAGGUUUAUGGUGAAAGCGAGGAUGACGAUAUCGAAGGUUUUGUUGGUGAGGCGAAUCACAAUUUGGGGAAGGACGAUGCUUGCAACUGGUGGGAGCUUGACUCUGAUUCCGAGGCCAUUUCAUUACAAUCAUCCCGAUGACACACGACUCUUUGUGAAACCUGGUCGACUAUCAUGUAUUCUACCGAGUUUGUGAUUUUGGUCAGGUACGUUCAGUUACCUAUUCUUGGCUAGUGUAUGCCUUAUUUCAAGACAUAGUGAAUUGUGUGCCUGGAUUAUCAGUUUCUGUAAGUAAAUUUAAAGAAAUUUAGUGCCCAAUUGGUUUGUAUUUUGUAGGUUUAUGGUGGGAAAGGUGAGCGAAAAGCAUACACAAAUUCCGUUUUGUGGUAGUACUCAACAGAUAUAUCCAUCUUUUACUUUUUUUAUUUUAACUUUCUUGCCGGUUCGUUUUAAAAUUAAUCUAAGAGUCAGGGAGGAAAAUGUUGUGUUAUAGCUACUUGAGCAUGGAUUCGAGAUGAAGUGAUAGAUUGUUGUAGUUAUCCAUCAUGUGAUAAGCUGUGAUUAAAAAACAGAAAUUUUGGAAGAAACAUUCUAUGAAAUGCUGCCUAGAAAGAAAAACAGACGUUUAUGUAAAUGGUUUUACUCUAAUUUAUUUAAUAGUUAAUACAUUGCUGCAAGAGUGUUUGCAUUGCAGUUGGUGGUAUUAGGUUCGCCGAUAUACAAGUAAAGCGUAUAUGAUAUUGUGAUAAUAUUAUUUUACACAUUUCAAAAGAAAACGAAUAAGUUAAUUAAUUGUUGAAAUGCAAUCUAACUAGGAAAAACAGUUAUUUCUGAAAUUGGCAUAAGAAUUAUAAUACUUGUAAACUACGUAUGAUAUAGUAAUGCUAUCUUUUCAAUCUGGUUGCUUGUUCGAGAAACAAGCAUGCUCGAACUUUUACAUUUUACAACGUAUGAAGUUCUCAUUUUCAUGAAUCUUUGGGUGCGUACCAGGUAGCACUGGCAGUGCAGAGGGUUGAUGAGCAUAUAUUCUCAGCUGGUACAACAGCCUGGUGCUCAACAGCCAUCGUGGGUUUCCUGCUUUAAAAUGAUAGGCAAAAACGUGUGCGAACCCAUGCUAUACAGAAAUACGCAACUGAAGUGAUCAAUCCAACAGUUAUAGCUGUUAAUCAUACAAUUGAACAACACCACUCUCACGUAAAUGUAAUCUUCUGUUUCUGUCAUAGAUCGAGUGCCUUUUAUUUACAGUUAUUGAUAUGCCUGUAUUAUGUUGACCUUCGUAAGUUAAGUUUUAUUUUCGGCUUCCUAUUUGUGUAUGCUUGUACUUGUUAUUCCCCCCUACUGCUAGAAAGAUGAAUCAGUUUGGUUAAUUUCUUUCUCCAUUGUGUAUUUAAGUUGAAAAAGGUGAUAAUUUAGGAAACUGAUUGACUUGCUGCAGAAAGUGGAUGAUCUUUUAUGCUUGUGAAACUUUUUGUAUGAUACCAUGCAGCAAACCUCUGCUUCUUUUGCUUGCCAAAUCUUGAUUUCAAAUUAAAUGGCUUCAGUUAAACUCUCUGUCAGAUUAGUCAAGCCUCCUCUUCGUUUUCAUGCUGUUGCAGAUCGUACGGUAUUCGAUGUGUGCCCAAGGUUCCUUUUAUUUUUUUCAAAAAAAGAUUGUUGAGUACAGGAAGAUGCAGAAUACAUAUUGUUCAUUUCUCUGUACAACCCUUAUGUCACAAUUUAGGUCUGAUAACAUUGUAAAUUUAUGUCGGGCGAACAGAAAAACGCAUUCUCGUUCAUUCACCUCUCUCUACCCAGUAAACGCUCGCUUAUGACAAUUUCUUUGGUUGUUUCCUUGCCACUACAUUGAGAGUGAGCGCUGAACUCUGACUUCAUUUGAAGGCUUUACAGAAUUUGUAGUCCCUGUUGGAUGUUAUACAGGAGUUGCAGUACCUGUUUCGAUCGUUGUUAUUUACAGCAGACUUUUGAACAUACAAAAAGACCUGCACAAACAGUUGGUUAUGACGAUGACCGUUCCUUUCGAAUCUAGUAUUGUGAUGCCACCGGUAGCAAAGCGAAUGCUGCAGUCAUUCAUGCCUUGGGACAUUUCUCGACGUUAAUAUUUCUGGCGAUUUCUCUCCGUCGAGUGGCGUUAGGGCAGAUUUCUAAGCAGGGUUCUUUGAGAGUGGCAUCAUCUUCAGGAAGUGGGGGGAGGACACCGAAUUUAAACUGCCGUAUUCAAGUUCAGUUGGGUCAAUUGUAGGACAGUCAAUGUGUGGAAAUGAGUAGAGCUGUAGAGUUCUUGGGGUUUUACCUGGCAGCUGUAAUCGACGAAGUUCGGCUCCAUCACUAACGGAACGCCCAUAUAAUCUUUGAUGAAAGCCUGUAGACCGUUUUUAUGGAUUUCUAAACGAUCAAUUACUACUAAACGGUUUCUACGACAAAGAAUACUUCGUGUUUUGUAGAAACAGUACUGAACAGGCUGUUAACAUCUACUUCGACACUCGAGUUAAUUCGAAAGAGUUACUGACCUGAGUUGGAAGCUUACAAGUAUUCAGACAUAUACCGACGCAUUUGCUUUCUUCCAAGUACUUGCAUUUCUCUACAAACACCUGCAUCAACGGCGAAGCCUCCCAUCCAUUACGACAACCAUUAUCCGACCUCAGAAGGGAAUAAUGAAAGAAUAAGACAGCGAACUCACUCACCCCACUGUUCCAUGAAGUCCCGUCUGGUAAGUCGACUGAGUUUACUGUGCAAGGACCCAUAAGCCAUUGACAAGUAAUUGCAGUCACCCUUGCAACCAUGAUGGCAGCUACUUUUCCUCCUUGUAAGGGUGCUACCAGCAACUUAUAAAGGUCUAACAGUAACGGCGGGAACAAGGAUCUCAAUAUUCUUACCUGCCAUUUCAGCAUAACACUCGCUUAUGGGAAUCAUCCAGUCAUUUGACAAAAAUACUUGGCUCCUUACAUCUAAGCGAAUAAUUUGUCGGUGUGAGGGUCACACCUCGCAACAUAUCAACUAUGUCAGCCCCCCAUAGUAUAACACGUGGGUUAAUAGCUAAAUCUAACAGUGUCAGCAUCAUUAUAAAAAAUGCCUCUAUUUAUAUGGUAUUACAAGUCACAAUUUGACAUUUGUGUAUAAUUCCUCUAUUAUAAGUUUCAGUUAAGUUAGUCGACUAAUAUAGCACACGGAUUAAUAACUACAUGUGACAGUGGCAACAUCAAACUCAAAAAUUUCUCCAUACUAAGUAUUGAUAUUACCUGCCUCAAAAUAGACAAGUCACUAUUUGACACGCAUUAAUAAGUUUUCCUUUUUCUCAUUUAACAAGUUACUUCACGUACCGUCACUAUAUGUUUCAGUUUGUGAUUUGCAGGUAAGGUAAGGAAUAGAGCAACGUUCUUCGUUAAUUUGGGGAUAACACUUACGCAAGUAUAGAGAAUGAGAGAAAGAAAGUAGUGAGUACCGCAGCUUCUUUAGCGUGAGAAUUGGUUGGACUUUUGAGCAUUAGCCGAUUCGCCACAUCAAUGAGUCCGUCGUAUCGGGCUUUUCGGAAUCCCAUCCAACUUCCGCAGCCAUUUUGCUUCUAAACACCUUGAGGAACAAUUCGUCCAUCACUCCAAGCUUCUGCUGCUUCUCCCGGAAUUGGGAUUGUGGCUCUUUUAUCUGAAAAAAAAAAAAAAAAAAAUUGUGGAUUAGGAUUCAGCUACUUUUAAUAUUAACUUCCACAACUGCGAGCAGUGGAUUGCGCUGAUGGAUAAAUCUCCUUACCAAAGAGGAUGAGACCCGAAAGCGUUGGUUUCGGAGCAGCUGAGAUUUGGGUUGGGAUUGAAACUGUGGUGGCGGAGAUGAGCAUGAGAAAAUGGUGGUCGGAGGGCCAACAACAGCCGAAGCCUUCAUUUUUUUGUGGAAUCUCACCUAAAACUCUGUAUCCUCGGAAGCAUGGACCUUAUUUGAAAGGCCAAAUUGCACUUACAGUCCUCCUAGUUUAUUUAAAUUUUCAAUUUUGAUCACAUAGUUUUUUUCUUGCACUUUCGCCCAAAUAGAACCUUUGUUGCAUUUUCUUACUUGAUGGACUAGAUUGAACGUGACAACACGAUUAAAUACAAAAGUGAAUAUUCAAGAAAAGAAUAUACAAGAACAAAAGUGAAAAUAUGAGUAAACUACAUGAACUUCAGUAUAAUUCAAUUUAUUUCAAAUUGUCCCACAAAAAAGGGGCAGUGGCUAAAAAAUGAUCCGUUUUUGACAUUUUGGUUGCUUAAUUGAUUGAAAUCAAAUACCGACGACAUAAUAAUCUUUGUUAACUAAAUAAUGGUAACAUAACGACUACAUGAUAAAAACCGAUCGUUUGGACAAACAAAUGUCAAGUUCGACACAAAAAAAAUA
This 66285-nucleotide long non-coding RNA is filed under the name Malus domestica (apple). RNAcentral describes it as "long non-coding RNA (MDOM_LNC008801)". The record is from RNAcentral. Lineage: Eukaryota; Viridiplantae; Streptophyta; Magnoliopsida; Rosales; Rosaceae.